This 50815-nucleotide long non-coding RNA is filed under the name Lactuca sativa (garden lettuce). RNAcentral's name for it is "long non-coding RNA (LSAT_LNC007919)". Lineage: Eukaryota; Viridiplantae; Streptophyta; Magnoliopsida; Asterales; Asteraceae. The record is from RNAcentral.
CACAAGCAACCGAAACCAAGUUCGGUCCAAGAUUGUUGAUACAAAAACCAUGUUCGAUCCGAAAUCCAACUUCAUGACAAGCGAAACCUUAGCCAAACCGAAUCACAGGUUCGCCUUCGGUCCUCCCCUCUUUCUUCCAAGUGCUACCAACCGAACUCAAGUUCGUUCCAGGUACAUUCCAAGGCCAUUGAUACAAAAGCGAAAUCAAGCAUCACGAUGCCAACAAGGAGUGAAACCUUUGCCAAGCCGAACCACAGGUUCGCUUUUUGUCUUCCCUUCAUUCGUUCCAAGGCAACAGAAGAACCCAAUCAUAGAUUCGGUUCAAUAUCGUCGAUUAUACCCCAAAGAGAAGCACAGUAAACGAUCGUUCACAGGUAAGGCUUUUGAUGAGAUUAAANNNNNNNNNNNNNNNNNNNNNNNNNNNNNNNNNNNNNNNNNNNNNNNNNNNNNNNNNNNNNNNNNNNNNNNNNNNNNNNNNNNNNNNNNNNNNNNNNNNNUUUUGACUUUUCGUUUAGACCAUUGUGCAUACCAAUUGAUCCCUGUUACGAUUUCAUCCUGAUAAACUCUCAAAUCUGAUUACAUUCGUUCUCAGUGAGUUCACUUGCACCAAAUAUUUUGCAGUACCAAUUUUGGCCUGCAAAAGCGAACAGACACACAAAGACCAUUUCAUCUCAUUUCGUUUGACGCCAUCCAACAUCACUAUUCUGAAUAUGUCUUUCAUUUUCAGUUCCUUUUCCGAUUCAUUCCAGCCAACAUCACAAUUUAGGAAAUCUAAUUUUGAGAUCGGAAAUUGGUUCUGAUUCCGAGACUUCAAUCCAAUUGCGAAAUAAUUCAUAGUUCUGAAUUGACUUUUUAUAUUCUAAGUUCCGAUUACAAUCCAAUUAAGAGACCCGUUCGGAUUUGAAAGACAAGAAAUUAUUCUUUAUGUGAGAACAUCAGUAAACAACGAGACCGUCUUUCCAAUUGCGAGACAAUCAUUGCAAGUCUGCUCUUUGUGCUGACAAAACGAUUACAAGACCAGAUUAAUGAUACCUUCUCAUCAUCUAUAUGCAAAUCAGCAAUCUUCAUUCAGAUUUACUUUUGCAAUUGCAAUCGAUCCUGAUGACUAUACACAACCACAUAUCUACCAGAAUUUGAUUCUUCAACACAUAUAUUGUUUUGUAUAUAUCGAGAUUACCAAAAUCAACAAAUAUGAACCACUUUGGAAUGAUAAUAGAAAAUCAAUAGAUAUCAAUUGCUCAUAUCAGCAAUUCAUAUUUAUGAUGAAAUCGACAAUCACAGUUGAAUGACAAGCCUGAAAAAAUCCACUAAUCGCUAAAUGAUUUUGAAGAAAAGAGAUUCGAUUGAAAAACAAAAAUCAAUUAAAUAAAGAAUCAAUUUGAACAAAGAUCGACAUCAUGAGAAUCGUGAUUCAUAAGGAGCUUGAAUCGAUUACCCAAAAAGUGAUUUAGGCUUCUAAUAUCGAUAAUUGUGAACGGGUGAAGAACGUCAACAGGAAGACUGAACAUGUGUGAUAGAUUAAGAUUAGACGAACAAUGAUAAAUUGAAUUUGGGCCAGAAAUAAACGGAUGAACAGUAAAGAACUGAAUCUUUGGACAAAAUCAUAAGAAAUUGAUCUACGAAGCAAUAUAUUGAUUUUGGACUAAACAAUCGAUCAGAUCUAACAGAAAUAAAAUACGAGAUGGAUUAAAAUAAUACCCAGAUGAACAGUGAUAGAAAACAUAAGUUUUCAUAUCGGUUGCUUGAACAGAAAUAUCAAUUCCAUACCGCCAAAACACCAAUAAUAUUCAAUAUAUGUGUAGAAAAUCACCAAACCAAGAACCGAUACUUCAAAAAUCAAUAGAUCUUCAAAGACCCGCUCUGAUACCACAUGUUGGGAAUAAAAUCUUAAUUCUGAUUUGAUGAACAAGAUGCGGAAAAUAAGAACAAACACAAAUAAAGAAGAUAUGUCGAAUGAUCACUCGAUUUAUUCAAAACAUGAGGAAUAAAUUACACUUUCAGCAUAGACUAAAGAAUCUAACACUACAUAAGAAACUUCACAAUGUGGCGGCUACAUUUUGCCUCACUCUUAACAUCAAUUACGAAUAAUACAUGACUAUUUAUAGGGAAAAGACAAGCCUUGGGCUUUUAACCUACACUUCAUCAAGGGGCCUACUGCCAUUAUCCUUGGAGUGCUUUGAAACCCUACAAGUGAGUGAGAUGGUAAACUUCGAGGACGAAGUUUAGUUUAAGUGGGGGAGAGUUGUAACACCCAAGAUUUUGAAAACCAAGAAAGUAAAAGAAACCCUAAAUUUAGGAGGGACUCGGCGAGUCCAAGGAGGAACUCGGCGAGUCCGAGCGGGAUCCGAGUCGAGGAUUAAGUGACCAACUCGGCAAGUCGGCCAAGGCGACUCGGCGAGUAGGGUCUAUGCAAGGAAAACCCUAAAUUCGGGGCUUGGAGCCUAUUUAAACGUCUCAUUCUUCUUACUAGGGCUCCUUUACUGCCUCUCCAACCAAGAAUACGAACCUUAAACANCUAUGCAAGGAAAACCCUAAAUUCGGGGCUUGGAGCCUAUUUAAAAUUCUCAUUCUUCUUACUAGGGCUCCUUUACUGCCUCUCCAACCAAGAAUACGAACCUUAAACAGCCAUUGUUGCUUAUUCAAGCUCUUUGCCAUUUUGUGGGUGAUUUGAAGGAAGAAGGAGGGAAGGAAUCAUUGAGGCUUCAAGGAACUGCAGCAAAUCCAAAGUUGAAGGACCUUUCAGAGCACUUAAAGGUAAUAAGUCGCUUCCUUCAUCCAGAUCUACUUUGGUUAUGAGUUUUGGGGCUUUUAAGCCAUGUCUAAGUUUAAUCUCGAGCUUGAGGUCCAGAUCUGAGGUUGCUACCUCAGAUCCAUGUUUGUUUUGGUUUAGAAUCCCGUAAAGUAUCAGCCAUUGGGUGGAUUUUUGGAGCCUUUGGUCUCAAACCCUAGUUCAUGGUGUAUUUUGCUUAGAUCUCCAUCUUCACACGUAAAGUUUGCAACUUUAUGUGGGGGAUAGGCUUGGGAAGAGUAGAUCUACGGUUUGGAGUCCCUGCAUGACUCAAAAGUCCCCUGCAUGUUGUGGAACCGAAUGGACUCGGCGANCGAUUGGCCUCGCCGAGUGUGAUGAACAACUCGUCGAGUCGGAUGAAGAUGGGCAUGAACCCGGCGAGUGGGAUGAAGAUUGCUUUGUGCUCGGCGAGUCUGUUCUUAGACUCGGCGAGACAGGUCGCGUAGCCCCAAACCCUUCGAGUUAAGACUCAAGUCAGCGAGUCGAGCAAGGACUCAGUGAGUUGGUCAGGACAGGAUUUAGGAAUCUGUAGACUCGGCGAGUUAGGGGCUGACUCGGCGAGUCAAGUCGCGAUUGGAAGGACUUGAGCAUAAGAACUCGGCGAGUCAGUGAGUGGACUCGGCAAGUAGGGUUGACCUGGAAGGUUGACUUUGACCAGGACUUUGACUUUGGCAAGGGUUGACUUGGUUGACCUUUGAAGGUCAAUUAGACUAAGUAAUGUGUUGGCAUUGAUAGCUCGGGGAGCUAGUGGAGCAGCAGUUCGGAGUCAGUGGUCGGGUAGCGGUCAAAGGGAUUAGCAGCAACAGUUCAGCAGUAUCAGGUGAGUUUCCCUUUGUAUGAAUGGGUCUACGGCCACAAUGCCGGCCCAUGUAGUUAUGAGUAGAAGACCCGGGGGUUAGCCCUAGGCACAGUAUGCUAGUAUGGUAUUCGGACGAGGUCCAAUGAUAGAGGGCGGGUGCCCAAGGAGUGGUUUAUGUGAUAGUUUAUACUUGUUGUCUGUGUGAUACAUGUACGUGCCUGGUAGGAAGGUGAGUGGGGGGCGAGGUCCCGUAUCUCACCAAUAGCAGAGUGUGGAUGGUGUUCCACAUCUCAGUAGCAGCAGUACAGGGGCGAGGCCCAAGCUAGGAAAAGAGUGAGGACGGGCGGGGCCCGUAUCUCACUAUCAGCAGGAGUAUGGACGAGGUUCCAUGACUCAUCAGUAGCAGGACACGGGCGGGGCCCGGAGAUAGGCGAGGCCUUGGAGCAAGAGUUGUUAGUAUAUGUUUAGCUUAUGUGUUGUUAUGUGAUAUAUGUAUGUGCUAGUAUAUGUUAGUGGGCGGGGCCCUGUGACAGGCAAGGCCUAAGUGAAACAGAUCUGUAUCCGAGCGGGGCUUGAAGCCAGGCGGGGCCUGGAGCCGCGGGGCCGUUGUAGCGGGCGAGGCCCGAAGUAGGGGGCGAGGCCUCAGAUAGCGGGCAUGGCCCAGUAUGUGCAGUAUGUGGUCAUGCAUGGUAUGUGGUAGGGUUGGGAACUCACUAAGUUUCGUGCUUANGUUUUCAGUUUUGUUUUCAGGUACUUCCGGUAGCGGAGGGAGGAGCUCGGGGUGAUCGCAUGGCACACACCAUAGAGUAGUCAGCCUGGGAAUGUUUACUCUGAUAAUAAACAUGUGUUUUGAAAACUUAUACUCAAAUUAUGUUUUGGAAUGAUGACUUUGUUUGAAGUAAUGUUUUAUUAAAAGAAAUUUUUGGUCUCGAAUUUUGGGUCGUUACAAGUUGGUAUCAGAGCCUUGGUUUGAGGGAUUCGAGCAUACUCUCGGGUGUGGCUGAACUCAAACUGAGGGGUUGGAUAAAAAGUUUUCAAAAGCGAAAAGACAGUUUUCUAAAAAGAAUUUUGAGAACAAAAAGCAGUUUUAGAAAAACAAAAAGAAUCCAGAAAAAGAAGAAUUUUGAAAAGAGAAAAAGGGGUGUGGUGCAUGCAAUCAACCGAGCUCAAGUAAGUACCCCAAAAUACCCAUACAAGUUUAUAUUAUGAUUAUCAGUUGGUAGAACAGCAUGCUAGAAUAGGACUAAGGAUCUAGGGAUGAUGCCUUAUGUGCCUGUUAUUUGUGCUUUUGAGCUGCAUAGUAGUGCUAAGUAGACAGUAGUAGGAUAGCCUGUUUAGGUUAUACCUGAGAUAUGAGUUUGUGUUUCAUGCUAGUUCAGAUUCUUGCUAUGUGGAUAUGAUUUCUUGAGUAUGUUAUGGUUAGAUUUUCCUUUGUUCGAAUGCUGCUUGCUUUGUGUAUUGUGGGAUUCUGAGUGAUGGGAGUUAGCCAUUAGGUGGAUACGACAAGUCACAUGCGAUCAGGGUUGAAUAAUCUCAGAGUGCUGGAUUUGGUCCUAUUACGCAGCUCUCGUCUGAGUCCAACCGUUGUAGCGACGAGUCUUUUACUUGAAGGAUUAUCUGAGCCUCGUUGCAUGUGAUGGUAUCCAGGUGAUGGCUAAUUGGCAUCAUAAGGAGACCUUCAGUAGGUUUGUGUUGAGUUAGAGGUUUCCCUAGGGUAAGCCUAGGAUGAGAUAGUGCUGGGAGCAGUAGUAGUGGUUAAGGGGUCUGGUGGAGUCAAAGCAAUUCCUGAGGAAAGUACGGAUAGAUAUGGAAGGUAGUAUGGGCCCGUACUACUGAAAGCAAAGGAUCCGUACUCGAUUCGGGAAGGGCCGAGACAAGACCAGGAACCUGGUAGGGUAUGUUUGGUCUCACAUCAGUGAUGAGUAUUCUAAUAGUGGUUGUGGUAUAUUUUCAGCAUGGUGACAUUGCGAGAGAGACCAGCGGGCGGGUCAGGCGCCGGAGAGGGAUCAGGCUCGGGUUUAGGGACCGAGCAGCUCGAGGAGCAGAUGAGAGAGUUGAUAUCAGCUGAGGUUACGCGCAGUAUUCUAGCUCAGACUCCUGUGAUCUUUGGCACGGUCAAGGAGGGUAUACUGGAGAUCUUGGAUGAGAGGCUGGGAGCCUUCCGUACUGAGAUGAUGGCAUUGAUGGGAGCGCGUACUCUGACAUUUCGAGAGUUCAGAGCCUGCGGGGCACCAGAUUAUCAUGGGGCUAGGGACCCCAUUGCUAGCAGCAGAUGGUUGGCUGAUGUUGCCAACGCUUUUCGUACGAGCAAGUGUCCCGAGGGGGACAAGGUUAGACUCGCCUCCUGUCUUCUGAAGGACAGAGCGAGGGAUUGGUGGGAGGAGAUUGGUCAUGCUUUGGGGGAUGAUGCCGCGUUGGACGCGAUGACUUGGAGCGAUUUCUCGGCCAGGUUCAGGGCGGAGUUUUCGCCGAUUAUUGAGGUGCAGCAGCUGGCACGAGAGUUUCAGGAUUUGACGCAGACUACUGAGACUGUGGCGGAGAUCACCGCCAAGUUCAGGGAGAGGGCUCUUCUUGUACCGCAGUAUGUAGCGGAUGAGGAGAUGAAGAAGGCUCGGUACCAUGAGAUGUUGAGGGACGACAUCAGGGAGUUCGUGAGCAGGUCCAGCUGUAAGACGCUGGAAGAUAUGAUUUCUCGGGCUAGGGAAAGGGAAAUUGAUUUGGAGCAGAUCCGGAAGAGGAAGCCGGAUGAGGUUCAGGUAUCAGCGGGUUCGNAUUGAUUUGGAGCAAAUCCGGAAGAGGAAGCCGGAUGAGGUUCAGGUAGCUGUGGGUUCGGGCAAAAGGCCCAAGGGAUCGGAUUCGAGAUCGAGGGAUCAUCAGGACCGCAAUCGGUGCGGAAAGUGUGGCAGGGCGCACGGGGGCGCGUGCAGGAGUGGUAGCCGUGGUGAGUCUGGUUGCUUCAAGUGCGGUCGGACUGGUCAUUUCAGCAGGGAUUGCACUGUUACUGCCGCGCAGGAAUCAGACUUGAUAUGUUUUCAUUGCAACCAGCGGGGCCACAAGAAGGCCCAGUGCCCCAGUUUGUCUUCGGCAGGACGGGUGAUGGCACCCGCCCUUGCAAAUUUGAGGAUCACAGAUGGCCGUCAGGGCCGGGUAGAGGCACAUGCAGCAGGGAGCAGGGCUUUUCAGAUGACGACCUUGGAGACGCUAGCGACGCCGGACGUUGCAGGGAUGCAAUUUCCAUUUCCAGUUCUUUUAUUUGUGCAUGAUUAUGUUGUUAUGAUUCUGCAUCAUCAUCGGUAUGAGUAUUUUAUUUAUGUGCGGUUGAUUAUGGUCGAGUUAUAUGCCAUCUGCAUACCUUGGAUAAUUGUAUGGUAGUUAGGGGAUGUGCUCUAUUGGAGAAGGUUACGUAGGAUGCAGUAGCUGUAGCAUGCUUGGGAGGGACUUAGUAUGUCUCGUUAGAUCAGGAUCGUGUAGUGUCAGAGAUGGAUUGGUUAGAUCCCUAGCUAUGGUAAGCUUGGGUUCCUCAGCAGAUUGAUUAUGGAAUGGUAGCAAGGAUUGGGUUUUCUCUUUGAGCAUUGAGCAACAAGGGGUAAGCAGGAUCGAAGUGGGGGAGAAUCCUCCGAGUAAGCCAGGGUAGGAGCACGCAGACCCAGAAGGAGUGCGCAACCUCCGAGGAGGAAAGGAAGUAGUUCAGCGUUCGAUGGAUUGAGGAUUUCAGGGUUGGGAGUUUGAGAAACUCCCCAUCAGCUAGAGCGUGUGUCGGUAAUGGUUAGUUCGUGGUUGGGAAUUCAGGUUGUUGAUCGCCCGUAUGACUCGAGGGAGUCAGAAUGAGGAUCUUGAGAGCUAAUGGCACAUGGGUGCCUUCGUAUUAGCAGUCAGUGGUGGAAGUGUUGUAAGACUACGGGGCAGCCGUAGCAUUCACUAGCAGUCAACAAUGGAUGGUGAUGUAAGGCUAUGGGUAAGUCGUAGCAUUCCCUAGUCGCUUCGUUAGCGGAGUUGGGGCGAGGCCCUUAUUUUCUCGUGAUCAGAUAGGGAUCGGGAUGGGUAGUCGUUGAGAAUGAUAGGGAGUUGCCUGUAUAGCCCUAGCAAGGUGAGACCUUGGGAGAGGCUGCUCCUGGAUAUAGUUGGGUGAGACCCGUGGGCGAGGCCCGUACGAGAUUAGCAGUGUAGAUAAGACCUGAGAGCAGGGUUGCUCAGUAGUAUGGUUGGGUGGUACCCGUGGGCGAGGCCCAUGGGUUUUUAGCAGCGCAGGUGGGACCUGGUAGGGACCUUAGUGUCAAGUUAGGGGAUCGGGGAUCCCAGGUUUGUAGUGCCUGAGUGGUGGAAUUGUUUGAGCAGUUAUAGGUAGUUGAGGUUUCUUUGGAAGUCGCUGAGAGCGACUUGUGUUGAUGUUGGGACCAGCUACCGGUGGGAGCCGGUAAUCCAGAUAUUGAUAGGUUGGUAGGGACCAGAGUGGUCUCAGUUCAACCGGAAGGCAGAUGAGGAAUGGCAGAAGUAUCCAGUCAGUAGUAGUGCGGGAAGGCGGGUUAUGUUGGAAUUCAGUUAGAUGAGUCGAGGGGUGCUCGACACCAAGUUAUGACAAGAGAGGAGUGUCAGUGGUUACUGGCGGUAAUGACCCGUACUGGAUUUAGCGGGAAUAAGGGAUUGGUGAAGAUAGGAUCUUCACAGUGGCUGAGGAGAUAGUUGUUUUUGGAGCAUCGCCUUGGGAAGGCAAGGGAAUGGCGUGAGGAAAGAAGGGGUGAACCCCUAUAGGUUCAGUGCAGUACUCGGUGAGUACCCGUCGGAUUAUCGGCUAAGUAAGUUGUGUUUCCAGAAUGUUCAGGGUCAGGGUUGACCCGAGAUGGUUAUUUGCAAGGGUUAAUGCUAGUCUGAAUGAUCAGGAGGAAGACCAUCGAAGGUAGGCAGCUGGUGUUGGAACAAUUCGUGGGGUAUUGGAGGCAGAUAGCAGGCGGUGAGAUGGUAAACUUCGAGGACGAAGUUUAGUUUAAGUGGGGGAGAGUUGUAACACCCAGGAUUUUGAAAGCCAAGAAAGUAAAGGAAACCCUAAAUUUAAGAGGGACUCGACGAGUCAAAGGAAGGACUCGGCGAGUCGGAGCGGGAUCCGGGUCGAUAAGAAAGUGACCAACUCGACGAGUCGGCCAAGUGGACUCGGCGAGUCUGGUCUGUGCGAGGAAAACCCUAAAUCCGGGGCUUGGAGCCUAUUUAAGCAUCUUAAUCUUCUUCCUAGGGCUCCUUUACAGCCUCUUGCACCCAGAACGCCGCACCUUAAGCCCCCAUUGUGUUCAUUCAAGCUUCUAGCCAUUUUUGAGUGGGUUUAAGGAAGAAGAAGGAGUGGGAAUCCUUGAAGCAUCAGGGAGUGGCUUUGGAUCUGAAGUUUGGGAAGCAUUUCAGAGCAUUGGAAGGUAUCAAUUCGUUUCUCUCCUCCAUAUUUUUCCUUGGUUAUGAGUUUUGGGGCUUUUAAGCCAUGUUUAAGACCAAUCUUGAGCUUGAGGUCCAGAUCUGAGGUUGCUACCUCAGAUCCAUGUUUAUUUUGGUUUGUAAUCCCAGAAAGUAUCAGCCAUUGGGUGGAAAUUGGAGUCUCUUGGUCCUAAACCCUAGCUAUGGGUGUAUUUUGCCUAGAUCUCCCUCUCUACACGUAAAGUUUGCAACUUUACGUGGGAAAUAGGCUUGGGGAGGGUAGAUCUACAGUUUGGAGCUCAUGCAUGACUCGGAAGUCCUCUGCAUGUAAGUGGAUCUUAGUGGACUCGACGAGUCCUUCGAGUGGACUCGGCGAGUAGCUUGAAGAUGAGGAGGAACUCGACGAGUGGGAUGAACAGCUCGUCGAGUCGGAUGAAGAUGGGCAUGAACUCGGCGAGUUGGAUGAACAACUCGUCGAGUUGGAUGAAGUUUGUCGUGUGCUCGGCGAGUCUGUUCUUAGACUCGGCGAGUCAGGUCGCGUAGUCCCAAACCCUUCGAGUUAAGACUCGAGUCAGCGAGUCGAGCAAGGACUCAGUGAGUUGGUCAGGACAGGAUUCAAGAAUCUGUAGACUCGACAAGUCAGGGGCUGACUCGGCGAGUCAAGUUGCGAUUGGAAGGACUUGAGCAUAAGAACUCGGCGAGUCAGUGAGUGGACUCGGCGAGUAGGGUUGACCUGGAAGGUUGACUUUGACCAGAGUUGACUUGGUUAACCUUUGGAGGUCAGUUAGACUAAGUGUUGGGUUGUUGUUGGUAGCUCGGGGAGCUAGCGGAGCAGCAGUUCGGAGUUAGCGGUCAGGUAGCGGUCAAAGGGGUUAGCAGCGGCAGUUCGGCAAUAUCAGGUGAGUUUCCCUUUGUAUGAAUGGGUCUACGGCCACAAUGCCGGCCCAUGUAGUUAUGAGUAGAAGACCCGGGGGUUAGCCCUAGGCACAGUAUGCUAGUAUGAUAUUUGGACGAGGUCCAAUGACAGAGGGCGGGUGCCCAAGGAGCGGUUUAUGUGAUAGUUUAUACUUGUUGUCUGUGUGAUACUUGUAUGUGCCUGGUAGGGAGGUGAGAGAGGGCGAGGUCCCGUAUCUCACCAAUAGCAGAGUGUGGAUGGUGUUCCACAUCUCAGUAGCAGCAGAGCAGGGGCGAGGCCCAAGUUAGGAAAGGAGUGAGGGUGGGCUGGGCCCGAACCUCACUAUCAGCAGGAGUAUGGACGAGGUUCCAUGACUCAUCAGUAGCAGGACACGGGCGGGGCCCGGAGAUAGGCGAGGCCUUAGAGCAAGAGUUGUUAGUAUAUGUUUAGCUUAUGUGUUGUUAUGUGAUAUAUGUAUGUGCUAGUAUAUAUUAGUGGGCAGGGCCCUGUGACAGGCGAGGCCUAAGUGAAACAGAUCUGUAUCCGAGCGGGGCUCGAAGCCAGACGGGGCCUGGAGUGGCGGGGCCGUUGUAGCGGGCGAGGCCCGAAGUAGGGGGCGAGGCCUUGGAUAGCGGGCGUGGCCCAAUAUGUGCAGUAUGUGGUUAUGCAUGGUAUGUGGUAGGGUGGGGAACUCACUAAGCUUCGUGCUUACAGUUUUCAGUUUUGUUUUCAGGUACUUCCGGUAGCGGAGGGAGGAGCUCGGGGUGAUCGCAUGGCACCCACCAUAGAGUAGUCAACCUGGGAAUGUUUACUCUGAUAAUAAACAUGUGUUUUGAAAACUUAUACUCAAAUUAUGUUUUGGAAUGAUGACUUUGUUUAAAGUAAUGUUUUAUUAAAAGAAAUUUUUGGUCUCGAAUUUUGGGUCGUUACACUGGGCAUACACGUCGUACAAAAGGAGUACGUGGAAAGCAUGCAAACCCUAAUUUUUAGGGUUUUGGCUCAUAUUUAAGCCUCCUUAAGGCCUUACAUUUCAUUCUUACCCAACCUCCUUCUUUGACAUCGAGCCCCAAGAAAUCCUAAGAGCAAAAGAGAAAUUUUGGAGCCUUUAAGAGAGUUUAGAAGUGGUUUUGAAGAAAGAAGAAUGUGGUGAGAAGAUCUUGGAGUUGAGAGCACCUUGGAUCUAUGAUUUCUUCCUUGUUUACAACCUUUAGAAGUUAUAAAGCUUGCAACUUUACCACCCAUCUUGUAGAUCUAGGAUUUUGCUUUUUAAGUCACUUUUUGGUCCCAAAAUGGUAAUUUGAAUGGUAUUUGAGAAAUUGGUCUUUUGGAUGAAUAUGUGUCGGUUAGAGCGGAGAUUAGGAGUCGGGACCUCAUCAGCUAUUGUUCAGACUAUGAGAUGAGUUUUUCUCACUGUAGAUAUGGGUCGAAGGCACCAAGACUGACCCAUUGGAUUGAUAUACUGUUAUACAUUGAUAUGUUGAGUAUGGAAUAGAUCUGCAUGAUUACAUGCUAGUUGUCAAUAUGCUAAGUUUGGUAGAUCUUUAGGACUACCUGUGAUUCUAUCUACACGAUUAUCUGUAUGUUAAAUACGUUUGUUAUCUGUUAUAUAUCGACAUAUUGUGGUGGGUUGAGGUUAUAUUGUUGUGUGGUGUAGCCAACAAACUUGAGAGCAAUCUAGAUAUGAGCCGAGAGACAGUUGGCAUGUCAUACUCAUACUGAGGGCUCGGGAGCAUUCUAGAUACGAGCUGAGGGUCGGUUGGCAUGCCAGACUCGUAUUGAGGGCUUGAGGGUAUUACAACCCGCUGACUGAGUGGACCCAAUGUAUAUUGGCAUUCCAACCUAGGGUAUUCCAUCAUGAGGAUGACUAGACCCGGAGGUUGAUUGGGCCUGGGGUAGUCCAACCCGAUGGUUGAUUGGACCUGACAUGUUAUUGUAUAUGUUAUAUGUUUAUGUGUUGGUACUAUAGGGGGAACUCAAUAAGCUUUGGCUUAUGGUUUUUAGUUAUUGUUUCAGGUACUUCUGAUCAAUGCGGGAGAAGGCAUGACCGUUCACAUCCUCUGUUUUAUGUACUUUUGAUUUAUGGGAUACACUCAUAUGGAAAAAUACUUUGGAAACAAUGAUUUUGUAAACAUUCUAUGAUUCACGGUUGUUUUAGAAAGUUUAAAUUUCUUGUGAUUUUUAUGGAUGUUUCAAGUUGGUAUCAGAGCCGUGGUUUGAGUGAAUUGUAGGAACACUCGUGUGAAUCUAGUCUCAAACUAAGGAAAAGGUUUUAAAAAUUAUUUUCAAAUUGUUUUCAAAAUAAUCAAAAGAGGAUGCGAUGUGUACGAUCAGUCGGAGCCAGUAAGUAGACCCCAAAUUACCACACUGUUAUUUGAUAUUGUGAUAUGUUAGAACAACAUACUAGUGAUAGGCCAAGGAUCUUCAAGAAUUGCAUGAUAGAAUCGCUUGAUUAUAUGAUGCCUAGUAGCCUAGGGUUUCUUUCUUAUAUGGAAUUGACAUCAUAACUGUAGUUGCUUAUUAUAUGUAUCAUAGUUAUACAUAACUAAGAUUCUAUAGCUUGAGAAUGCUUAGUUUAGCCUUAUUUUAUGUUCUUGUUUGAUGAAGGGCUUAGGGUAUAAUCAAGUAUUCGAUUGUCUAUAGGGUCCAGUGUUAUGUAUGAUUAGCAUACACAAGUGUUGCAGGGUUGGUAGAAGUUUCAUGGAUGAGUUGUGUGAGGUCAGCCCACCAGUUGCGUAAUGUUUAGCCUUCCUCUAGGAAGCGAGGAUAGAGUGUAUGUGUAUUAUAGUGAGUAUUGUUAGAGUUGUUGUGAUGAUCCUCUGAGACAAAUACGGGUAGGUGUGGAAGGUAGUAUGGGCAAUACUAUUGGAAUCACAGGAACCGUAUGUGUAGCAGGGAAGUCACAACCCUUAGGGUUUUUUUUGGAAUUGGUCCCCAUUGUGUUAUAUGGAUUUUAUCUGAUAUCUCCCUGGUUUAUUUUCAAUAUGGAGAUUACGAGACGAUUUGAGGCAGGAUUCGGAUCAGGAUCAAGAUCACGUGUCCAGAACCGGGUUAAGGAGACCAUUCAGGAGGAGGUUGUUUCCCUCUUUCAGGGAUAGUUACCAGAGGUACACUGCACUUUCUGAUAAUGUUGCUGCUACAGCCACCGCAACCAUUGCUGCUGUCGGGAUUGGUGCUGGGAGAGCCUUCCAGUACCGGGACUUUGACAAUAUGAAGCUCUUGAUAUUUGAUGGAGUUCAGGAUCUGAUCAUAUCCAUGAGGUGGAUUUCUGACAUUGAGGGAUGUUUCUUCACUUGCUCUUGCCCAGCUGACCAAAAGGUCAAGUGCGCUAUGAACCUUCUUCAGUCCAAAGCUAAGGAUUAGUGGAGACUUGUUACUAUCUCGUAUUCUCCUAAGCAGAGGGCUGUCAUGACUUGGGAGUUGUUCUCUAAGAUGUUCUGUUCUAGAUAUGUUCUACUAGUGGAACAGGUAAUAUUGGUCCAAGAGUACUUGGACUUGAGACAGGGGACUGAUCGGUGACGGAGAUCACCAAGAUGUUUACGGAGAGAGCCAUGUUUUGCCCUGAGUUUGUUGCUUUUGAGCAAGCUCAGAUGACCCGGUACUUGAGCAUGCUCAAGACGGACAUCCGACACUUUGUGUCCACACAACAGUAUGGUUCAUUGGUAGAUGUGAAGGAGGUCGCUAGCGGGUGGGAGAUCGAGAUGGAGCUCCAGAAGAGGGAGCAGAGGCAGGCCCCAGUGCAGUCUCAGCCAGCGUUGAAGCAGUUCAAGGUCUCUGAUGUUAGAUCUAGGAUUCAGAGGGGUCGCACUUGUAGAAAGUGUGGCAAGGUUCAUGAUGGUGCUUGUAGAUCUUCUUCUGGGUGCCACAAUUGUGGCAUGCAUGGCCACGUUGUGAGGGAUUGCCGUCAGCAGGCUCCAGUACCCAACACUAGAAUUUGCUAUCACUGUGACUAGGUUGGCCAUGUGAAGGCCAACUAUCCCUUGUUUCCUGGUAGUCCGGCGCAGGCUCCAGCGCCGACUACUCGUAGGAUCGCGGAUUGGAGCCAGGGCAGGGUGGAGCCCCCAAGGGCUUGAUGUCAUGCUUUCCAGCUCACGGUGGAGGAGGCCAGGGCGGAACCAAACGUCGUGACCGAUAUGUUUCUAUUUAUUAUCUUGUUGAUUAUAUUUUAUGGUAUGCUCAUGUAUAUGAUCCUGAUAGGUAUGUCCUUAGUGAACUCUUUGUUGGAUUAAUGUCUAAGUCCAUAACUAUAAUUGGUAAGACUUGACCCGACCCGGCAUGGUCCAUUUGGGUUGCAUGGCAUCAUGCACUUGGAUAGACUAAAUGAGAGAAAUAAGACACUUAUGGUUAUUAAUAUAUUAUAAGUUCUAGUAUAUUAAUAAUAAGAAUAAUGAGAUUAUUUAAUUAGUAUUGAUCAAGAAUUAAGCUAGGAUUAAUUAAGUGAUCAAAAGAAGACUAAUUAAAUAUAUGGGUUGAUUGUGUAAAUCAUCCAUACUUGUAUAGUGGGCUAAUGCUCCAUGGAUAAUCAAGUUGGGCUAAAACCCAUAGGAUGGUCCAUGGAUGCUCCAUGGUGUAUUUGUACCCAUGGAUCCAAGGAAAUGGAAAGCCAUGACAAUUAAGAGUUUACCCUAAUUGUAACACUAUAUAAAGAUCACAUUCUUGGGAAAAAUCGGCCACUAGAGAGAGUAAGAAAGGGCUAGCCGAUUUUCAUGAAGUGUAGAAUUCUCUCAAGUUAAUCCAUGUGUAUUUGGUGUUGUGUGAACCAUUUGAGGUGUCACACUUGGGGCACUUGGCACUCAAGCUUCAUGAAGACUUUCUACACCAAAGAGGUAUGUAUUCUAUCUUGCUAUAGUUAUUGUUUUGUAUGCUAGAUUAGGAUAAUACCUUGGAAGUUCUUAUUUGCAUGUAUAAUAGAGAAAACAUAGAUCCAAGGUAUUUAGGGUUGCAUGUACACUUAGGAGUGUUAGAAUGCUCAAAACCCAACAGUGGUAUCAGAGCCUAGGCUUGUUUUCUUGUUAUACCUGCAAUAGAAGCUGAAAAAACGAAUUUGUUGCUGUCUGAUCAUCAGACUCGGCGAGUCCAUCAGGAGACUCGGCGAGUCCAUGACUAAAAUGUGGUCAAUUCGAUCCAACUCGCCGAGUUGGUUCAUGCACUCGACGAGUUGGACCCCCAGACAGCAUAUUUUCGAGUUUUUUGGCUAGAAAUGGACUAGGAACAUUACCCUAAGUUGUUUUUGAACUUAUAAACUUGUUUUUGAUGUGGUAAUGUUCAUGCUAAUCCAUUUUCAAAGAUAAUUGUCAAUAGAUUCAUGUUUUGUAUUAGUUUAAGGUUUAGACUAAUUACAUGAAAAAGUUUGAUUUGAAUUAUCUUGUUCUUAUGAGUUGCUUAGAUUAAUAGAAAUGUUAAUUGAAAUAGUUGUUUUCAAUCCAUUUUAAUCUAAGAGUUGAGUAUAAAAUGUGUUUGUGUAACUUGUCCUCAAGUUACAUGAAGAGUCACAUUAAAGACUCAUAAAACUCAUAAAAGUUGGCAAUGGUUACAAAAUGAAGAGUCUUGUGUCAUUGAAUAAUUUUUUUUGACUCCAUAACUUGUCCUCAAGUUAUGGAAGUUCAAGAGUCACUUCAUUAAAGAAAAAUAUGUAACCAUAAUUAAAUCCAUAAGUUAUAAAAUAAAGAAAAAGUUAGUUCUUUUAUUAGUUUAAAGUCUUCCAUAACUUGUCCUCAAGUUAUGGAACUUGAAGAGUUUUUGGAUUAAAACUACUUUAAACACAUAAGUUAUGGAAUUAAUUAGUUUUGAAUAGUUUCAAAACUUGCCCUCAAGUUUUGGAAUUUGAAAAGUUUUCACUUAUGAAUACUUUAAUUCCAAGUUAGCCCUUAGAAUUUUAAAAGUUAAAAUUCAACCCUUAUACUUUAUAAUAUUAUAAGUUAAUAAUAUAUAUAUGUAUAAGAGUAAAGUCAGUCUUACCGCUAGUACGCCUCAUUCACGAAGCCGGUCUAUAAGGUGGGUAUAAGGUUGUUGCCUAUAAAAUGGCAACUUAAUGGGUGUCCACUCUCACCCACCGCUUGCUUGACUGGUGGAGGGUCGUUAGCCGAACGGGUUUGACAGGACUAGAAUUCUCCCUUCAUUAAAAGUAUUAAUGAUAAUACUAAGUAACUAAACUCUUAAUAAUACCCAAUCUUAGUUACUUAGGAAAAAUGUGAAUAAGGUGCUAAUCCAUGAAAUUACACUUUACACUUUGUCUAAGUCGUUAGUGGAGCGUGUGUGGUUAACCGGCACACUAACUUGGACUUAACAAGGUAGGUAAAGGGUGACUUAAUAUUUAUCAUAGUAUCGAUGGAGCGUGUGUGGUUAACCGGCACAUCGAUUGAGGGGUAAUUUAUUAAGGGUACCAAGUGAUUUGCAUGGUUACUUCACACCUUGUUUUGUGAUCCUCGGCAUCCCAGUCACAAAACCUGAAGGGCACACUCGAGAUUGAAACAUGCCUUUGAAAAGUUCAAUGAAUCUCAAAGAUCUAGGAGUUUCAAAACCAAUUAAAACCUAAUAAUACAUUUCGUUUAUCUUGGUGGAAAUUGGUGAAUCGUCAUUCACCUACCUUCAAAUAUUUUAUAGCUUGGAUUACGGCAUACCUCUUCUAAGUUAUAAAAUAGUUUGUUGGGUCCUAGCCUUAAUAUUUCAUAUUGGGUGUCAUAUUAAGGACUUUAAAUCAACUAUCUUGAAUAUCUCCCAAAAGAUGUCUGGUUUAGACACCUAUGAUCUUCCCAAAUCUCUUGAAACAAGGUUUCCUAAUGAAGAUGAUGUCCCAUGGAUAUCAUACUUCUUCACCUCUUCAAAUUAUUCUCCCUAACCCACAAGUUCUUGAAAAGUUUAAGGUCACUCAGGCCCUAUUGGCAAGGCAAGGUCUAGGUGUGGUCACAUCUUGGAGAUGUAGUCACAUAUUGACAAGCCGGGAGAGUUGGGUGUCAAAGUCUUGAGAAAGUUGGUGGUUCAACCACUUUCUAAGUCACAUAGUGAGUUCCUUUGGGACACCUAUGAAACAGACUAUGACAAGACCCUUAAUGAUCUUAUCUAUUUGCUAAGAUCAACUUCCUAAAACUUUAUGGACAUUGACAAUGAUGACAUUGGAUAUCCAGUAAAGCAUUCUCUUCCCAAUGGAAAGGGAUCGGCCAUAGUCAACUCGGUUGACCAAAUGGUAAAGAGAAAAGCUAAGUCUGUGAUAGUCUCGUGUACCAUUAUCAAAGGGUCCAUAUGUUUAUAUUGCCAAAGGAAGGGGCAUUGGUUGCGAAGCUGCCAAAUUUACCUAAGGAUGUUAAAGUCAAUAAGUUUGACUCUACUUCAGGUAAAGUCCACUAUCUAACUCUGUUAAGUUUCUAUUCUGAGAUUCUUGAUACAUGAUGUGACUGGGUCACAUGGUGAUGUUUUAAGAAUCAAAGAAAAGUGAAGAAACUUAAAGAAAGAAUAUGCUGAAUCUGAUGGCGUAGAUGGAUUUCUAUCGCAUAGUUUGAAGAUCGGAUUCUUGAGCUACUUCUUAGGAGUUAUGAGAUAUUGCUUAGGAAUAGAUAACAACAAGUUUUCAUAUGGAUUGUAAGGAUAAGUUUUUCCGCAAAGUUUUAAAAUAAAAGAAAAUUUUUUUUUUUUUUUAUUUUAAAAUAUCCUUACAAUGGCAUUUGAGGAAAAAUUGUUGCUUAUAUGAUUCCAUUAAGAGCAAGAGUGGAAAUAUGAAAUUGAUUCUUUCAUUUGUGGUAAUGUCUAAAUUUACCAAAUAAGGAAAGAUUCUCAUCACCCAAGUUUCAAUUGGACCGGAACUUGGAAUCAUGCAAGUUGUAUAGCAUGAUGAAUGAGAACUUUCAAGUUUUGGAAAAUUAAGACUAAUUACUUGUUCACAUGGAUGUGUGAGUCAAGUAAAGGACUUAGGGAUCGAGUACACAUUCUUGUGCACUGAUUAAGUCCACCACUAAAGAUCGAUAAGAAGAAUCAAAUAAGGCAGAAGGAUAAAAGUUUCUCAAAUCUGAAAAGAUGGGAGAGUACUUUAGUAUCAGUUUUGUGAUCAUCUUAAUGAUUAAGAAACCAUAUCAAAAUUAGUUCUCUAAGGAAAUCUUAGUGCAUUCUUAUGACUAAGAAGAGGAACUUGAAUUGUUGAAAUGGUUAAAUCAAGAAGAUGAGUCAUACUUCGUUCCAAUACAAGUCUUAGAGUCAUACUCCAAGAUUGUCAUUUGAGUGACAUGUCUUAAAGAAGGUUUAAAACACUUGUCAAAUGUAAGAGUAAAAGUUUUCUACUCUUGUACAUUUGAAAUUGGUAAGUUGUGAUGUUUUGGAUAAAACAAAGACCAACUUAGGCCAAUUGGGUAAAGUGUUUUUCUUGAUUAGAAUCCGCACUAUCUCUUGGAUGUUUGACAAGGGAGUCUUAUAUGUCAAGAGGACAGUGGGAGUCUUAAAGGUCUUGAAAGUCUCAAGAAAUAAUCAAGAAUAAAACCUAAAGUUCUUCACUAGCACACGACUUGAGGUUUAUAACCUAUCGUGUUGACAUAUCUGUGCCCAUUCCAGUUAAAGUUGGCUUUGCAUAUGAGUUCUUAGAGUUCUCAGUUUGUUGCAUAACAACUUGGAAGCAAUGGCAGGCCCUUGAGCUGCCAGGUGGCAAGAAGUUAAGAUUGAGUUCAAUCCAUAUGGUUUUGGAUUUGUCAUUAUCUUUGUCUUGUGAUUAUGGUUUGACAAAUUCAUAUGGGUAGGAACUCAUACACCAUAUAAAUCUAAGUGUCAUAAGGUUUCUCUCCGAUUCAUGAAAAUGAUGGUGAGGAAACGCUUUCACUAAGUAGAUUUUACGAAGAUAUCAAUUGUGUUAUUUGCAUUUUCAAAAGUCGUUAGUGGAGCGCGUGUGGUUAACCGGCACACUAACAUGGACUUGUGAGAAAUGGCAAAUGCCUAAGCAAUUGAGACCAUGAUUACGGUAUCCCUUUUCAUGGUUCUUGAAAUUGCUUAGACACACAGGUGAGCUAUCUACGGAAAGGGUGUAUGAAUCUAAAUUUCAGACUGUCCAGCUGAUUUCUGAGUACAUGUCAAAGCUAGUGGGAGCAUAAGUGUUAUGCUAAUAAUCAUCAUGUUAGUGGGAGCAUGAUAAUUAUGAUAAGUAUUGCAAGUUAGCAAUGUUAAUUAUAGAAAACAAAAGUUUCAAUUGGGAAAAAGUUGUUUUGCUAUAAUUAAGGGAGAGGAAAUUAUGCUUCAUCUCAAAUCUAUAAGCUUAGAUCGUGAGGUUUUAAUCAUUUAGUCAAGGAUAUAUAUGAAUUUCAUGUUGGAAUGGCUCAACAUAAGGAAAUUCUGUAUAUGGGUCCAUUAUUUGCGUUCUAAAAUUCGAUUAUGAUUACGGCAUCCCUUUUCAUAAUCUGAAUUAUGAGAACUUGGCAAAUUGAAAUGGAAAUAUUAUAGCAAAAGACUGGUUUAGUCUUUAUGUAAGACAUCAUGAAUCGUGUCCCAUAUGCUUCGGAUAUAGGAUCGAUUACAUGUGCUAUAUUCAUCCGUUCUAAAAUUUUCCAAAUGCCUGGGGCAUUAAGAAGGGAAAAGGUUUAGAACUGGAUAUGACUAAAAGGAUUAAACAAUUGUCGAGGACAAUCUAAGGUUUACCAAAGAUUGGUUACUCAAGGACAAUUGGAAGUAUAGUGAUAAUUCUGGAAGGACCAUAUUGACAUAAUCUGUAAGGAGGCAACUCUUGUUCAGAAGUGAUAGUCAAAAUGGAAUCUGGAAAUGUUUCAAAGUUAGAAUUUUCAAUCUGUGUAAGAUUAAGGAAACUUAAUGCAAGAAGGAUAUUUCCAAGGAGUUGAUCUCCUUUGGAAUACUCUGUAAUGAUUGUUGCCAAGUCUUUGUGACUUUGUGCAUAAUCAUUACAAGAGGAUCAAUGCAUAUAAGUUUAGAAUCUAACAGAUUUCAGUAAAUGGCAUGAAUUUGGAAUUCUUGCAUUUGCAGUAAGGAUUUGGGAGUGUGAAAAGAGAAUCAUUGAAGUUAUGUUCAAUUGAUCUAGUUCACAAAGUAAAGAUCAUAGACAAACAUAGUAUGCAUACUUGGUGUGUGGCAUGACUAGUGUUUAAGAAAACAUAGUGUACAUGCUUGGAGCAUGGGACAACUAUUGUUUUAAAUUCAAGAAUAAAGUUGAUAGCUGAAACAGUAUACAAUGAAUAAUGUGUAAUCAUAUGGUGAUAAAUAAAAGGUGUUUUAUUUAUGUUCAAAGGGUUGAUACCAUAUUGGAUUCAAUUAUUAUUGUGUUUCAUUUUGCAUGUUUUGACUUCCCGAAUAAACUGGGUUAUUCUUCCGGAAUGACUAAGUUAUUCAAACCAUCCACAGUCGGUCAUAUGUUGGAAGUAGAUAUGAAUUAAGACUGUCAUGGGUUGGCUUGUAGAGGUCUAAGGUGUUGGACAAAGGGCUACAACACUCAUGAGUGCUCAUAAGUUCUGAGUAUUGGAUUCAACCCGCGCUCAUUGGAAUCACUUCAUGGAUUUUAUCACGAGUGAUCAUGAGACGAUAAUAUCUUAUAUUCUUCAAACCUAGAGAUAUGAGUUGUUACUAUGAGUUGAUAGUACAUUGAUUGCACGAAAACGCAUUUGGUAACUCGGUGCUAUAAAACGUGCCUUUGUGUAUGAUUCAACAAGUAGUAGAACAAGCCAUAUGAGUCGAAGUUUAUCCAUUCCUUUUACCUUCGGGAUAAAAGCGAUAUCUGUGGGCCCCUCGAUGAUUUGAUGAUGACAAAUGGAAGUGCUCGGCCGGGCCAGGACUGAUUUGAUUUGUUCAAUUAGUCAGUCGUCAUAAAUCGGAAAUCGGGAAACAACAAAUGGACAGAGAGAAUGAUUAUAAUCCAUGUCUCAGUCCAUAUGAUAUCUAGAAUGGAGGAAUAUAUGAUCCCUUAUCUAAUGGACAAGUCAUUGACAAAGGUCAGAGUUCAUCUACAAGGUCAGAGUUCGACAGAAGCUUUUGAGAGCUACGAUUGCCAGUUGGUUCCUGAAGUCAUACGCAAUAAUAGUUUUAGACUUAUCCAAGUGGGAGACUGUUGGAUUAAUGUCUAAGUCCAUAACUAUAAUUGGUAAGACUUGACCCGACCCGGCAUGGUCCAUUUGGGUUGCAUGGCAUCAUGCACUUGGAUAGACUAAAUGAGAGAAAUAAGACACUUAUGGUUAUUAAUAUAUUAUAAGUUCUAGUAUAUUAAUAAUAAGAAUAAUAAGAUUAUUUAAUUAGUAUUGAUCAAGAAUUAAUCUAGGAUUAAUUAAGUGAUCAAAAGAAGACUAAUUAAAUAUAUGGGUUGAUUGUGUAAAUCAUCCAUACUUGUAUAGUGGGCUAAUGCUCCAUGGAUAAUCAAGUUGGGCUAAAACCCAUAGGAUGGUCCAUGGAUGCUCCAUGGUGUAUUUGUACCCAUGGAUCCAAGGAAAUGGAAAGCCAUGACAAUUAAGAGUUUACCCUAAUUGUAACACUAUAUAAAGAUCACAUUCUUGGGAAAAAUCGGCGACUAGAGAGAGUAAGAAAGGGCUAGCCGAUUUUCAUGAAGUGUAGAAUUCUCUCAAGUUAAUCCAUGUGUAUUUGGUGUUGUGUGAACCAUUUGAGGUGUCACACUUGGGGCACUUGGCACUCAAGCUUCAUGAAGACUUUCUACACCAAAGAGGUAUGUAUUCUAUCUUGCUAUAGUUAUUGUUUUGUAUGCUAGAUUAGGAUAAUACCUUGGAAGUUCUUAUUUGCAUGUAUAAUAGAGAAAACAUAGAUCCAAGGUAUUUAGGGUUGCAUGUACACUUAGGAGUGUUAGAAUGCUCAUAACCCAACACUCUUUGCCUGCUCUUUUUUAUUUGACUUAGGCAUGAGUCGGUCCUUUGUGUCUUGAUCAUUUAGUAAGGAGUUUGAUAUGCCUAUUGGGGAGUUAGAGUGUCUGUUGCGGGUUUAUAUCGCCAAAGAACACGAGGUUUUUGCAUCCAAUGUGUAUCAGGGUUGUGUAUUGAAGAUCUUCAGGGUGCCUUAUCCAAUUGAUAUGUUCCCUAUCCCCAUGGGGGAUGUAUGCGUGGCAGUGGGUAUUGACUGGUUGAGCAGGUUUGGUGUCAUAAUCUAUUACGAGCGCCAACGAGUAGUAGUUUGAACCCCAAGUUGGGGAGAACUGGUUAUCCAUGGAGAGGGCACCAGGUUUGGUUUGGGGUCUUAUUUGGUAGCUAGGGUUCGACAGUAUAUUCAACAUGAGUGUGCAGGUUAUCUAGCUUAUGUGGUUGAUAGUCGGGUUAGGGACCAAACUUCAUUUUUAGAGGUACUAGUUGUUAGGGAGUUUGCCGAUUUUCCAGGAGGAGUUACCCGAUGUGCUUCCCGACAGGCAGGUUAAGUUUAGGGUUGAUCUAGUGCCAGGUGUGGCUCCGAUUGCCAAGGGUUCGUACCGCUUGGCACCGCCCGAGAUGUAGGAGUUGUCCUCUCAGUUUCAUGAGCUGUUAGGAAAGCAGUUCAUCAGACCUAAUAGUUCUCUGUGUGGAGCGUCGAUAUUGUUCAUCAAGAAAAAGGAGGGUUCACAGCGGAUGUGCAUUAACAGGAUUUGAGCAAAUUAACAGUGAAGAACCGUUAUCCCUUUCCGUAGAUUGAUGACCUCUUUGAGUAGUUUUAGUGUGCAUCUUGGUUCUCCAAGACGAUUUGAGGUCCGAGUAUCAUCAGGUGAGAGUCAGAGAGGAGGACAUGGAGAAGAUCGCAUUCCGAACUUGUUAUGGUCAUUACUAAAGGGUUUUGAGCAUUCUAACACUACCAAGGUGUACAUGCAACCCUAGAAACCUUGUAUCUAUGUUUUACUAAGAUACAUGCAAAUUUGAUUUUUCCAAGGUUCUUAACCUAACUAGCAUGGCAUGGGGAACUUGAAACAUAAAAGCUAGUAGAAGAACUUACCUUUCUAGUUUCUUGGAUUCCUUAAUAACUUUGUGAGCCUAGCACCCUAAAUGUGAUGCCUCAAGUGUUUCACACAACACCACAACUCUUGGAAUAACUUUGAGAGAAGUACACACACUCAAAAUCGGCUAGCCAUCUUGUUCUUAACUUAGUGUCGAUUUUGGUAGCCCUUGGGGUCCUUUUAUAGUUGUGUCACAAGUAGGGUUACACCAUGUAAACCGCAAUUGACAUGACUUUUCAUUUCCUCCAUGAUCCAUGGGUUUUAACCUCCAUGGACCAUCCAUGGAGCACCCUAUGGGUUUUAGCCCAAUUCAAUAAACCAUGGAUCAUUAGCCCACUAUAUAAGAAUGGAUUAUUUACACAAUCAACCCUAUAUAUUUAAUUAGUCUCUUUUGAUCACCAAAUUAAUUCCAUAUUAAUUCUUGAUCAAUACUAAUUAAAUAAUAUUAUUAAUAUAUUAUAACUUAUAAUAUAUUAAUGAACCAUAAGUAUCGUUUUCUCAUUUUGUCUAUCCAAGUGUCAGGAUGCCAUGCAACCCAAAUGGACCAUGCCAAUCGGGUCAAGUACAUACCAGAAUUAGUUAUGGACUUAGACACCUUAUCCAAUAGUCUCCCACUUGGAUAAGUCUAAUAACUAUAACUGCAAGUAUGACUUCAGGAACCGAUCAGCAAUCGUAGCUCUUUCAAAGUCUCGCGAAACUAAGAUGACGUGUCAUUUGAGAUAAGUGAUCAUAUAAUCCUCUGGUCUCAAGAUAUCAGCCGGUCAAAUACAUGGAACAGUGUCAUACUUAUUGUCCAACAGUUUGUUUCCCGAUUUCUGAUAUGUUUGACAUAAAACUUAAUCAAACACAUCAAUUUAGUUCUGACCGGGCCCAGUACAUAGGUCAAAACAAAAUCAUCGAGGGGCCUAGAUGUCGCUUCUAAUCCUCCAAGGACUAGAAGAAGCAGAUAAAAUUCGACUCAUAUGCUUGUUCUACUACUUGUUGAAUCAUACACAAAGGUAAGUUUUAUAACAUCGAGUUACCAAUGCGUUUUCGUAAAAUCAAUGUAUAACCAAAUCAUAGUCAACAACUCAUAUCUCUAGGUUUUAAGACUUAUAUGAUAUUACCAUCUCACGAUCACUCGAGAUAAAUUCCAUGAAGUGAUACAAGUGAGCGUGGGUUGAAUCCAAUACUCGAAUCACUAUUCCAGGAGUACUCAUGAACACUGCAACACCUUUGUCCCAGACAAACUGCAGACCCUUCAUGACAGUCUUGCCUCAUUACCUACUUCCAAAGUAUGAUUGAUUGUGGAUGGUUUGAAUAAUAUGAUAUACCAUAACAUAAUUAUUCUGGAAGUCAAAACAUGCAAAAAUGAAAUGAUAGUAAACGAUUGACAGAAGAUAGCAACACUUUACUUAUAAAUAAACAAAUUUUAUUUAUCAUCAAAUGUCAAUUACACUUUACAAAUUUCAAAAGGCUAUCUAAUUUCUAAAACUAAUAUCAUCCUUUAGCCCAAUGCGCCUCGCAUGUUGAAGAUGCUUAACCCUACCCAGUCCCUUCGUGAGGGGAUCUUUUGGGUUCUCAUCCAAUGAUACCCUCUUUGCCACGAGGAGUCCUUCUUGUAUUCGAUGUCUAAUGAAACGGUAUUUUCUGUUGAUGUGUCUGGAUCUCCCGUGAUCCCUUGGUUCCUUGGCUAAGGAAACUGCACUUUCACUAUCACAGAAAAUCUCCAUAGGCUCCUUUAUAGCUGGUACUACUCCAAGGUCUCCAAUGAAGUUCUUCAGCCAUAUUGCCUCCUUUGCUGCAUCGCUUGCUGCUAUGUACUCUGAUUCGCAAGUUGAAUAAGCCAAUGGCUCUGGCUUGGAACUUUUCAAGGUAAUUGCUCCUCCAUUUAAGGUAAAGAACCAGCCUGACUGAGAGCGGAAAUUAUCCCUAUUAGUCUGGAAGCUAGCAUCACUAUACCCCACUACUCUCAAGUCAUCACUCCCACCGAGGGUAAGGACCCAGUCCUUAGUCCUCCGCAGGUACUUGAGAAUGUUCUUUACCACAGUCUAGUGAGCCAUGCCAGGGUUCCCCUGAUAUCUGUUGGCCAUGCUCAAUGCAAAGGCCAUAUCAGGACGAGUACAAGUCAUAACAUACAUGAUCGGUCCUACAGCGGAAGUAUAUGGUACUCGACUCAUCUCAUAUAUCUCAGCUUCAGUACUCGGGCUCUGAGUCUUACUCAGUUUGGCGUUGCUCUGGAUCAGUAACUCUCCUUUCUUGGAAUCCUGCAUGCUGAACCUAUUCAGAACCUUAUCCAAGUAGGUACUCUGACUAAUUCCAAUUAGUCUCUUACUCAUGUCUCUCAAAAUCAUUAUCCCUAGGAUAUAGGCAACUUCUCCAAGGUCCUUCAUAGCAAAACACUUCCCAAGCCAGGACUUCACUUCCUGCAGAGUUGGGAUGUCAUUUCCUAUGAGUAGUAUUUCAUCCACAUACAGUACCAAAAAUCUAACUAUACUCCCACUAACCUUGACAUAUACACAUGACUCAUCUUCGCUCCUCGAAAAACCAAACUCUUUGAUUUUCUCAUCGAAACAAAGAUUCCAUCUGCGAGGUGCUUGUUUCAAUGCAUAGAUGGAUUUCUCAAGCUUACACACUCUAUUAGGGUAUUCUGCGCUGACAAAACCCUCUGACUGACUCAUGUAAACAUCCUCAUCCAACUUUCCAUUAAGGAAAGCGGUUUUGACAUCCAUUUGCCAUAUUUCAUAAUCAUGAAAUGCAGUAAUGGCUAGCAUAACCCUAAUAUACUUAAUCUUCGCUACUGGUGAAAAGGUCUCAUCAUAGUCAACUCCCGGAGUUUGUGAAAAGCCCUUUGCAACCAGUCAUGCCUUAUAAGUGUGCACAUUACCAUCCAUGUCGGUCUUCUUCUUGAAGAUCCAUUUGCACUGACUGUCUUACGACCUGGUACAUUGUCAACCAAGUUCCAAACUUGAUUUUCAUACAUGGAUUGUAUCUCGCUAUCCAUAGCCUCUUUCCAUUUAGCAGACUCGGGGCCUGCCAUGGCUUCCGUGUAGCUGUUAGGUUCAUCCAAACUUACCAGUGUACUAUCACUGAUAAAUGUAUCACCUUCCGCAGUAAUAUGGAAACCAUAGUAAUGCUCAGGUGCAUUCCUAACUCUCAUGGAACGCCUCAGAGGUAUAGACUCGUCAAUUGGAUCAACAGGAGUUUCCUCCUCAGGUUGAUUGCUAGGGUUUGAGGUUCCUUCACCACUUGACUCUUGAAUUUCUUCAAGGUCAAUUUCCCCCCUCCCCCACUAUUUCCUUAGCUUAUGAACUCUCUCUCGCGAAAGACUCCUCUCCUUGCCACAAAGACCACAUUAUCACUGGGUCUAUAUAAGAGAUAACCAAAGAAUUUAUGUGGAUAGCCGAUGAAAAUACACCGCUCACUCCGAGGUUCGAGCUUAUCAUGAGUCUCACUCCUCACGAAAGCCUCGCAACCCCAAAUCUUGAUGUGGUCCAAAUUAGGAACUUUCCCAGUCCACAUCUCGUGAGGUGUUUUGGCAACCUUUUUCGUAGGGACUAGAUUAAGAAUAUGGACAGCAGUCUCUAAGGCAUACCCCCAAAAUGAGAUUGGUAGUGAAGCUCGACUCAUCAUGGAAUGAACCAUGUCCAACAAGGUUCGAUUACACCAUUAAGUUGUGGUGUUCUGGGAGGUGUCAAUUGUGACACAAUCCCACAUUCCUUAAGAUAGUCAAGGAACUUUGUACUAAGAUACUCACCCCAUCGAUCGGAUCGAAGCAUUUUAAUGUUCCUGCCCAGCUGAUUCUCCACUUCCUGUUUAAACUCUUUGAACUUUUCAAAGGUUUCUGACUUAUGCUUGAUUAAGUAGACAUAACCAUAUCUACUAUAAUCAUCAGUAAAAGUCACAUAGAAGCGGUUAGCAUCCCUUGUGGCGGUUCUGAAGGGUCCACACACAUCUGUACGUAUAAGAUCCAACAAACCUUCACUCCUAGCACAAGUACCAGUGAAGGGUGACUUUAUCAUUUUUCCAAGUAAACAAGAUUCACAACUAUCAUCUGAAUUUAGGUCAAAUGACUCCAAGACUCCAUCAUUUUGGAGUUGGCCUAUGUGUUUCUUUCUAACAUGUCCAAGACGACAAUGCCAUAAUGACGCUUUAUCCAAGCUAGUGGAAGAAUCAAUACACAAUACAUUAUUUCCUAGGUUAUCUACAACCGACACAGUUUCAUAUACACCAUCACAAGGUAAUGCUUUAAAACAAAGAACAUUAUUAUAGAAAGCAUUAAUACCAUCACAUUCAUUAUCAAAUGAAAAAAUAAAUCCUUGUUUGUACAAACCAUGAAAAGAAAAAAUAUUUCUCGCCAUUUAAGACGAGUAACAACAUUUAUUCAAAUCUAAUGUUAACCCUCUACAUAGAAACAAAGAAUAAACCGAAUCUUGGUGAUGGGUGAAACUUUCCUAUUCCCCAUGAUUAAGUUUAUCUUCCCAUGCUCCACAUUUCCACUUCUUCUUAGUCCCUGCAAAUCAGAACAUAUGUGAAUACCAAAACCUAUAUCAAGGACCCAAGAAUUAGAAUAGGGUGAGUUAUUAGACAAUAUAGUGUAAAUACCUGCAUGGUUGGGUUUUACUUUCCCAUCCUUAACAUCUUGCAAGUACUUUGGGCAGUUUCGCUUCCAGUGCGCCUUUUCAUGGAAAUAGAAGCAUUCAGCCUCUUUAGGGUUGGCAGAAGGAGUGACAGAACCACCUUUGUUUCUACUUGAAGAGGAGCCAUCAAGAGACUUUCCCUUGGUACCCUUCGAGGGGCUCUUCCUCUUCUUCCCUUUACCUUUCCCAAUAGCCAGAACAGGGGCGGUGGUAGGAGUACGAGUGGUAACAACCGAUUUACUUUUAAGACCACUUUCGGCGGUCUUCAAAACUCCUUGAAUUUUUCUGAGUGUGACCUCCUCCUUGUUCAUAUGAUGGGUCAUUCAGAAUUGAUCAUAACAAGAAGGUAAGGAGUGCAAUAUGAUAUCAAUAGCCAACUCCUCAGGGAACUUCACAUUCAACUUCAGCAGAAGGUCCACAAACCUUUGCAUUUUCUGCAUGUGGUCCGUGAUGGGUUCACCAUCCUUCAUUCGGGUUGUUAUCAUGGAGGAGAUUAUUUCAUAUCGCUCUUGACAAGCACUCUGAUGGUAUCUAUCCAUGAAAUCUUGCUACAUCUCAAGAGGAUAAAAGUCCCCAUAGGACUUUUGGAGCUCGGCUAUCAUUAUGGCCCACAUGAUACAUGCCACUUUGGUAGCAUCUCUCUCAUGUGCCCUAAAGUCAACGAUCUCCUCGGGAGUAGCAGUAGACUCAUCAAGAUCCUUCAUCUCCUUGUCGAGGACAUAUUCCUUGUCCUCAUAUCGAGUGACCAUCCUUAUGCUCCUAAUCCAAUCAUUGAAAUUAGUCCCAUCAAAGAUGACUCUCCCACAAAGGUUCAUGAGAGUGAAGGAGUCGGUAGGGUUUGAGCCAGAAGCAGCAUUGUUGGAAGACAUCUAAAAAGAAGAAAGACAAGUUUAGAUUAGAUAUAAAGAUAGUCCUUAAUAAGACACCCAAAUGUAAUAUUAUGUCUAGGACCCAACACAAUAUUUUUAUAACAUAGAAGAGGGAUGCGGUAAUCCAAGCUAUAAGAUAUUUAAAGGUAGGUGAAUGACGAUUCACCAAUUUCCACCAUGAAAAACGAAAUGUAUUAUUUGGUUUUAAUUAGUUUUGAAACUCCUAGAUUCUUUUGAGAUUCAUUGAACUUUUCAAUGGCAUGUUUCAAUCUCGAUUGUGCCCUUCAAGUUCUGUGACUGGGAUGCCGAUGAUCACAAAACAAGGUGUGAAUAACCAUGCAAAUAAUUACUUCGUACUCUUAAUAUUUAUCACCUAAUCGAUGUACCAGUUAACCACACGCGCUCCACCGAUCUAUGAUAAACCUUAAGCCACCCUUUUCCAACCUUGUUAAAUCCAAGUUAGUGUGUUGGUUAANAAAAAAAGGUGUAACCUUAAUUAAUUCCAUAAGUUAUAAAAUAAAGAAAAGUUAAUUCUUUUAUUAGUUUAAAGUCUUCCAUAACUUGUCCUCAAGUUAUGGAACUUGAAGAGUUUUUGGAUUAAAACUACUUUAAACACAUAAGUUAUGGAAUUAAUUAGUUUUGAAUAGUUUCAAAACUUGCCCUCAAGUUUUGGAAUUUGUAAAGUUUUCUCUAAUGAAUACUUUAAUUCCAAGUUAGCCCUUAGAAUUUUAAAAGUUAAAAUUCAACCCUUAUACCUUAAUUAAUUCCAAGUUAGCCCUUAUACUUUAAUUCCAUGUCUCAGUCCAUAUAUAUAUAUUAUUAACUUAUAAUAUUAUAAAGUAUAUGGGUUGAAUUUUAACUUUUUAAAAUUCUACGGGUUGGAACUAAAGUUUUCUAAAGUGACUUUAUAUUUUCCAAAACUUGAGGGCAAGUUUUGUAACUAUUCAAAACUUUUCAACUUCAUAACUUAUUAGUUAAUGGUUUAUUAAAAUGAAGACUCUUCAUUUUAUGUAAACUAUGUGUUGUUUAAUGGACUUUAAAAGAAAAACUUUUGGUAAUCGAUAACUUGAGGACAAAUUAUGGAUUCCAUUAAAAACAUUUAGAUCAAAAAUUAAACUAACAAACAAUUUGUAAAUAAUUCCUAUGAUAUACCAAAUUCAUAAGUCUAUGAACAUUCAUAUCAACAAUUUCAAGAAUCAUAAAAAAAUAUAUAUAAAAAACUUGAAAUGCAUGGAUAUAUGGAUAUAUGCAUGGAAUCGUCGAGUCCCCCUAUGGACUCAGCUAGUUCACUCAGCAGAAUGAAGAAAUUUCGACUUUCUUCAACAAUUUGCAUGAAGUAUCAAGAAAACAAGCCUAGGCUAUGAUACCACUGAAGGGUUUUGAUCAUUCUAACACUCCUAAGGUGUACAUGCAACCCUAGAAACCUUGGAUCUAUGUUUUACUAAGAUACAUGCAAAUUUGAUUUUUCCAAGGUUCUUAACCUAACUAACAUGACAUGGGGAACUUGAAACAUAAAAGCUAGUAGAAGAACUUACCUUUCUUGUUGCUUGGAUUCCUUAAGAACUUUGUGAGCCUAGCACCCUAAAUGUGAUGGGUCAAGUGUUUCACACAACACAUAAACUCUUGGAAUAUGUAACGCCCGUACAUCCGGACUAGUCAAUUUAGAGGCAAUAAGUGUCGAAAAUGACUUUUCGGCAAAAUAUUAUUUAGAAUAAAUAAUCUUAACCAAGUUGUAGUAUAUGUUACAAGGUUUCCGUACAUAUAAAGACCGCCGAAAUCCGAAUUAUAACAAAGAAGCUAUGACCCGUCGAAGUUUCGCGAUGGAACCGGUACGAUACCGGGAAACGUAAAUAGUGAAUUUAUGAUAGAGCCAAGUGUCGAAAAUGACUUUUCGGCAAAAUAUUAUUUAGAAUAAAUAAUCUUAACCAAGUUGUAGUAUAUGUUACAAGGUUUCCGUACAUAUAAAGACCGCCGAAAUCCGAAUUAUAACAAAGAAGCUAUGACCCGUCGAAGUUUCGCGAUGGAACCGGUACGAUACCGGGAAACGUAAAUAGUGAAUUUAUGAUAGAGCCAGAUUUAGCCUUAGCGAUAUAAACGAAAGUCGUAGAAUACGUUAAACCAAAAUCGUCCAUAAAAAGAACGCCCAAAUCAGACUUCGUAUGAGGAAGUUAUGAUUUUUCGAAGUUUCGGAUUAGUAGUAUACAGCCCGAGAUUCGAAUAUUAGAUCGAGCAGUUUUUAGCCGACACAACCUAAACGAGAAUCGAAGAUCUCGUUAUUAGUAGCGUAACAAUAAAAAGACAGACGAAAAUGGACAUCGGAUGAAGAAGUUAUGAAAUUUUAACGGACCAAUCCUGUCCCGGCCUGUUAAAAAUAUAACUUUAAAAAUAAAUUCAAAAUUAGCCGACGGAGUCUAAACGAAAGUUGUAGAGUACGUCUCCACCUACGAGUGGAUAUAAAUAACGUCAAAAACGGAGUUCGUAUGAACAAGUUACAAAUUAUAAUAGCAUAUUUACGUAUUAAAAUAAAGUAUAAAUCACAUAUACGUACACAUACAUACACACACACACACACACACACACACAUAUAUAUAUAUAUAUAUAUAUAUAUAUAUAAACACAUAUGUAUAUAUCAUUAGAAAGGUAUCGACGAUGCGGUCAUUAUAAGACUAAUGUUGAGUUCUUUCGACAUUAGUUUACUGCAAAUAUCGUUAAAUCUAUUUAAAAUAGUAUUAUAAAUGGGUGUUUAGUUGUUUAUAUAACUAUAAGGUCAUUAAGUAAUUAUGGAGGGUAGUUUUUGUAAAUUCAACUACUAUAAAUAAGAGGCUUGGGCUCUCAUAUUUCUUGCACCAUUCUCUUGAUUCAAGAGUCUUUCUCUCCUUAUCCCCCGAGCAUUUCGGUCCCUCGUGAUUCGACUUCUCUUUCUGUAGUUUUAGUAUAGUAAGGUGAGCGCUGAAGCGCUGCACGAAUCUUUCUUAGAAAGAUUCAGCGACGAAGUUCUGCCCCUACAGAGCCCGACUCCUAGCUAAAAUCCCCUUGUAAGUAAGUUAUGCUUACCCUAUUUUAAAUAUAGUUUAUAUUUAAAAUUAGUAUUGUUAUUAUAAAUUUAUAAUAAAUAUUUGAGCUAUUAUUAUGACUUAUAUAAGUGUCGUUAUAAUAUCUUUUUAACUACUCGCGGUACGGGGAAUCUGGUUUAAAGGGCCGCAUAGGGUUGUUGGAUUUCAGAAGUGCUAUAUGCCAAAAUGGUCCUGCCCUCCGGUGUUUUAUGUCUGGCCCCUGUCUGUACAUAGUGGUUGGAAAGUAUUGUUUAAACGCUUAUAUAAUAAUAAUAAUAAUAAUAAUAAUAAUAAUAAUAAUAAUAAUAAUAAUAAUAAUAAUAAGACUAAUAAUUAGUCACGGUAAAUAUUAGACUAAAAUCUAGUGGUGAUAAUACUAGGUUUCGUCGAAGGAAAUUAUUUUAAAGUAAACGAAGCGUUGUCCGAGUACCGAGUCACCACCUUCUCAGGUGAGUGCAUAGUUACUUUCAUCUUACACAUAGAUAUGAAGUAUUUUAUAUAAACUACGUGCUAUGUGUGCAUAUUAUCUUAAUACUUGCUGUCUAUGCAGGAUGAACGUUUUUUUAUACAUGUUUUAAAUGAUUUGAACUGUAUACGUAUUUUAAAUAUACAAGUAUGUUGGGUAUGAAAUGGGUAGAUGAAUGAUGAGAGAUAAAAGAUGAUGUGAGUAAACAUUGGCAGCUAUAGACUUAGUGCCUAAUAAAUAACAUCGGCAGCUAUGGACUUAGUGCCUAUUGGACAAACACUGGUAGCUAUGGACUUAGUACCUGUUAGGAAUUGGUAGCUAUGGACUUAGUACCUAUUAGAUAAACACUGGUAGCUAUGGAUUUAGUACCCGAUGAAUAAACUAUAGCAGCUAUGGAAUUAGUGCUUUACGAACGAGCAUUGGCAGCUAUGGACUUAGUGCCAGUCCUAUAACCCUGGAAACAAGGGACUUCGGAAUAAACGAAUGCAGGAUAGAUGACUCUUAGGAUAGAUCCUUCAGAGUAAAGAAGAUAAUGAGGAUGGGUAAUUGGGUUGAUUGUUUGGUUGUUUAAACAUAAUAAUUAUAUUAUUGUGGGUUGAAAACCCUAUGUACUCACCAGGUUUCCCAACCUGAUCCACUCAGUUUAUUUAUAUCACAGGUGUUGAUAUGAAGUCACAUCACACUGAGAGAUUAAAGAGAUGUAGAUCACUAGUGUAAAUAAAUGUAAGUUCCGUUUAUGCUUAUGUUUCUGUAUUGACGAUGACAUCCCACGCGUUUUUAAAUGAAUAAAAUAAGUUUCUUCGAAAAUGUUUUGAUAACGUAUUUAUCGUGUUUUUCUGGGAACAAAUUCUGCAACACUUUUAUGAAAAGAAGUACUCUGAUUCACUACUAGAAAAAAGGCCUUUUACGACGCGCAAAACACGACGCUCUUUGAUUUAUGUUACGCAUUAGAGAGCGACAUUAAAAAAGUGUCAUCUCUUCAAAAAUUUUAAGGAUUUAGGUCGCGCAUUACUGAGUGCCCUUAAAUUAGUGUCUCAUGUAAAAAUAUUAAAAACACGGAGGGCACCUAUAAUAAAACGGGCGUCCUCUACAAAUGUCGCUUUAUAAUUUUAAUAAACGCGCGUUUCUGGGACUCCUUGAUAGGUAAGGGGGGAAACUAAAUCCCCCAAAAUUUUGAACACCCGCUUCCUCUUCCUCUCUACUCUCUACACCCGCCAAAAUCGACUUCAUUCUCUCCCUUCUUUCUCUCUGCAAACCCCUUCCUCUCCGAUCGACUUUCACUUCCUUCUAUGUGCAAACCCUAAUCAAACAUAACACAUUUGAAAUAGUAAUAUCUUCUUUCACAAAAUAGAAGAUUGAUCGAAGAAUGAUUUUCUUUUGAUGAAUCGGACAUCACCAACAACAAUAGCUUCCAUCACAAUUUGUGUUUGCUUUCAGACUCCACCGUUACAACAUCGCACCACAACACCAGCCCUGAGCCACCACCACACUGCCUUCGCAACAGCCCAGAACCACCACUAUACCACCACUGUUGCCUAUUUCAUCUGCGUAGUAGGCCUAUUUCAAAGGUAAUUCUUCCUUUUUCAACCAUAGUUACCUGUUUCAUGUCCUACUGGUCCUUCUUUUUGGACGAUUUUUUGUGCCUUUUUACCCUCUCUCAUAUAUUUUCAUGGAAUUGUUAAUAUUUUAUGAUAUAAGUACCUGAAUUUUUUUAUGCACACUAGGUGUUUGACUAAAUGUUUGAACCAAAAGGGGAUUGUCCAAAGAUUAAUGAACAAGGUUCAAAGCAACCUGCCACAGUGACAACCUCACAGGUAAAUAAAAAUUUAUGUAUUCCUAUUAGAUUCAAUUUACUAUUAUUAUACAUACACAUGAGUAGUAAUCAGCCAAUUGUGUUUUGAUAAUGAAAAAAAAAUCAAUUUAGUGUUUAGGAGUUGGAAUUUAAUUUAUGUAAUAGGAAUUGAAUCUCAUUUACUUACAAUUUCUAAACUGAUUUGAUUCCCUUUACUAUCUCAAUAUGAGAAUCCAGCAAUACGGUCACAACUGUGAUCUGUUACUGUAGAGUUGCUAACUAAAACCUGUGUCCAAACUCUAGAAGGUCACACACACAAUGUUUCUGCUGUAUGUUUCCAUCCCGAGCUUCCAAUAAUAAUGACAGGUUCAGAAGAUGGUACUGUCCGUAUAUGGCAUUCAACCACUUACAGGUGAGCUCUUGUUUUUUUACCUUUAAGGGUGUGUUUGUUUUGUAGAUUCUAAAAGAAUCGGAAUGCUAGAUUCCAUUCCAUGGUGUGUUUGGUUUCCAAAUGGAUGGAAUUCAAUUUUUGUUGGAUUCCUUCAAAUUCCAUGUUUGAUGGAUGGAAGGAAUUCAAUUUCUUUCUUCAUUUCCUAUCAAAAGACCAAAAUACCCUCGUUAUACAUAUGUUAAAAAUGUAAACUUUUUGACUUUAUGCCACUUUUUUUUUUUAUUCAGACUUGAGAACACCUUGAACUAUGGACUUGAAAGGGUUUGGGCUGUUGGAUACAUGAAAGGUUCACGUCGGUAAGUUUGUAUAGCACUUUUUGUUUUUUGUUUUGUGGGUCUUGAAUCUUGAUGCUUCUUCAUUCAUCUGGAUUUAUUUUAAUUACUGUUUUUACAGGAUUGUUAUUGGCUAUGAUGAAGGAACCAUAAUGGUGAAAAUUGGACGUGAAGAGCCUGUAGCCAGCAUGGACAAUAGUGGAAAAAUUAUAUGGGCUAAACAUAAUGAAAUUCAAACUAUUAACAUCAAGAGUGUGGGAGCUGAUCAUGAGGUUUGGACUUUAAAGCCCAUAUACAUGUUAUGUUAUGUUAACAAUGAAAUGGGAAAAAAAUCUAUUUUUUAUUCAGGUUUCUGAUGGAGAGAGGCUGCCUUUAGCAGUUAAAGAACUGGGAACAUGUGAUCUUUAUCCACAAGUGAGUUAUGCUUGUUCCUACCUUCCUUUAAACUGAAAAUAGUCAACCAUAUGGACUUUGACUUUUCUAUUUUUCCACAGAGCUUGAAGCACAACCCAAAUAGGAGGUAUGUUGUUGUCUGUGGUGAUGGUGAAUACAUCAUAUACACAGCUUUGGCAUGAAGUACUGGUUGGUAAAAAAUUCGUGGGGUGCUAGAAAGUAUCACCCGAAAAACGAUGGGCCAAAGGUAAUAUCUGUUGUUAUAUUGACUAUUUUGCCCUUAUUGUUUUUUAUGGAUCUGAUUUAUUUUUUUUUACAAUUACAGGUUUCGUUUUUUAGUGAUGAUGAAGAGACUACCAGCACACCAAAAGCAGAUGCUCUUUUUAUUCCAAGGGAGAAUCCAAGAGCUCUGGUUAUUCGCCCUCUUAAACAAUGGCCUGGCAAAUCAUCUGCUGAAAAAUUAAAAAACGCAUCUUCUCCAGCACAAACAAACGGUAAACUAAUUUUCUGCUGCUACCUUAAAAAUAAAAAUAAUCAUUUUUUAUCUCAUUUUUUUUAUUUGAAUUCAGGUGAUUACACUGGGUUUGCUUCUUCCCCUCCUUUAAAUGGUCGCUCUACGGAAAACGGUAACAGUAAGAUCAUUUCUUUUACUGCAAUUUGAAUAUUUGGAACUCAAUUCCAUACUAAUAUCAAAAUCUUUGAUUACAGGAAACCAUUCUGAAAACGGAACCCUAAAGGAACAAACACCAAUCAAAACCCCCCAAAAACAAAACGGAGGAUGUGAUGGUGGCGAGAUGGAAGAUGGCUUUGAGUUUAUCGUUAAAAACAAAGGCAUCAACACCGAGGUGGCUUACCCAUAUCAGGCAACAGAUGGAACCUGCAACACCAAGGAAGAAGCUGUCCAUGCUGCCACCAUUACUGGGUAUGAAAAAGUGCCAGCCAACAGUGAAUCCGCAUUGUUACAGGCAGUCGCUAAUCAACCCGUAUCAGUUGCCAUUGAUGCCAGUGGCAUGGGUUUCCAGUUCUAUUCAGGUGGCGUGUUUACUGGGGAUUUUGGAACUGAUCUUGACCAUGGUGUUACAAGCUUGUUGAAUCAAAUGGAGUUAUAUGUGGUUGUGUAUAUACUUGCAAUCUUAGGCUUGGAUAGUCUACAAGGAAUCAUGCUGGAUCAAGGCAGCUGUAUUGAUACCUGUUGUACUUUUUGCAGGAAGGUAAUUAAACUUUAUUAUUAUUAUUAUUACUAUUAAUUACAAGUGUAACAUGUUUUAAGUAAAUUUUCAUUCCUUCUACAGCCCUAUUACAAAUGAUACGUGGCUCUGCAGUUCUUUAAGUUGUCACCAGAAGAAUCAUCAAAGGAUCCAUUAUAUCUUUUGAGGGACAUGUCCAAUAACGAUAACAAAAACUAAAAUCAAGUAAAAAUGUUUGCUAAAAUGCUUGUAAUUUUAUUAUAUAUUUGGCUUAUAUAGGGAUGCCAUGGGAUACAAAAGGGGACAUUUUGUUUUAAUUGCAAAAAUAAUCAUUUCUGCACUAGGCUACUUGAUGCUGGGAACUUUUAUUUAUGUGCUUAUCGUUGAUGGAUCUACAUUCAAUGCCAAUGUAUUAUCAAGGUACCAUUUAAAAUUUCCCUUUUAUUUAAUUUAUGUAAAAAAGUGUAAUAGUAAAUGCUCAUACAUAGUUGUAAAUGCUCACAGGUGCAUGAUAGCAACAACAACCGAUUUCUAUUUUUGUAUUGUCAUUGUAGCAGUAAGUCUUUGUUUAUUAUAUACUUUCCAACUAUAGUGAAAAGGAGAUUUUUCGACUUUUGUUAUAACAAUAAUGUUUGAUUGCUUCUUUUGAUCAGGUGUGGAUUGCAUAUAAGGAAUCAAGGUGGAUAAGUGCUUUCUUUUGGAUACUUUCACUUCUAUCUUUUUGGAGGGUAAGCAUAUAUAGAAACUAGCUCACUUUCCUUUUUUCACUCUCUUAAGUAUAUAACUAUAUAUGGGAUGCUGUUUGGAUUUACAACUGAAGGAAUCAUGGUAUAUUUCCAGGACCCUGAAAUCAUUUACAUUGUCUUAUUUUCUCAAAAUAUUAAUUGUUUAUGUUGCUUCCAAAUACAAGGUAUGAAAAGCUGCAACGGUGGGAUGAUGCCCUUAAAGCAUACACUGCAAAAUCUGCUCAAGCAACAAGUCAACGUCUUAUCUUGGAUGCUACACUAGGUAUUAUUCAAAUAUACCAUGCCAUGGUGUUAUAGUAUUUAUAUUAUUAUCAUUUCAAGGUAAUUAAUUAAAAUAUUUGUUCAUUCUUAUGACGAAUGAGGAGUCAGUGACAGAUGGGUAUAUAUUAUAUAAUCAAAACACUAUAAUUAUAAAUAUUUAUUUUUUUUACUAUAAAUAAAUUAUUUGAGUUAAAAUGGCAUGAAUGAUUUCAGGUAAAUGGGGAUGGUAAUUCUGAAAAUGGCUCCCAUAUAUGUGAACAAUAUCCAUUUUCAGUAAAUGAGAAGGUUGUUAUUUUUAUUUAUUUCACUUUUGUUUUCUAUGUGAAGAUAUACUGACAAAAAAUACAUUACAUGACAUGAUAUGUUGGUUGAGUAGCUUUACGUGUUCUAAUGGGUGGUGUUAGAUGGAAUUGUGAUGAUAUACUCUCUAGUUUAUAUGAUCAAAGAUUGUCAUUGUGAAUAUCAUUGUUGAUAGCUUUACAGAUAAUAUUUACCAUUUGUAUGCGGGUAUUCUUGUCAUUGUGUUUGUCAUUGUUGAUAUUAGGUAAUUCAUAUUGUAGUGUAUUUAUUCCAAAUCCCAAAUUCUUUGGAUGGAGAAAAGGGUAAUUUCGUCUUUUACAACUAACAUUCCAAGUUUGAUUCUUCUAAUAAUUGUAUUAACAUAUUAAUUUUUUGACUUUUAUUUGAUCAGGUCACAAGAAUUAUCGGAGCAGGGGUUCAAUAUUAGUCUUAAAGAAGUAUGAAAGGCAAGAUUCAACUCUACUUAGUUGGAAUUUGAUGUUUAUCAUCUUUGUGUAUAUCUUUUUAGUUUGUAUAGCAUUACAUUGCAUAAGGUGUCCCUUAAUAGCAAUUUAGUAUUAUGUUAUAUAGUUAGGGAAAACCUCUUAAUAACAAUGUACAAUUAGAUCCCCUUAAUAUAAAUGUAUUACAAUUUUUUGACAUGAUGUUUUUGGUAUAUAUUUGUUUACAUAUGGAACGAUUAUUUGUAUGACAUUAAAUUUAUGCAAUGGAUUCUAUUUUUGUAUAUGAUAUUUUAUUAUCUAUUAUCUAUUAUUAAACAUUAAAUACAAAUUUAAUUUGAAAAUAAGCAAAUCUAUAAAUAAUAUUUUUUUAAACAUUUAAAAUUAUGAUACGCAAAAAUGUGUGUCAUCUUCAUUUAUGACAUGGCCUUUCUUGACAGGGGCUUCCUUGAUACGCAUUGCGUGUCAUAAACACGCGCGUCAUAAGGUUACGACACGCAAAUGCGUGUCGUCUUCCUUUAUGACAGGGCCUUCCUUGAUACGCAUUGCGUGUCAUAACCGCGCGUCGUAAAUGCGCGUCGUCUCUCUUUAUGACAGGGCCUUCCUUGACACGCAUUUGCGCGUCGUCUGAGCGUUUUACGAUGCGCAAUGAGCGUCGUAAAAGGCCUUUUUUCUAGUAGUGAUUUUUACAAAGCAUAAACAAAAUCGGUCUUUUCUGGCCGUGAAAAUGGGGAUGUCAUAGAAUAACUUUGAGAGAAGUACACACACUCAAAAUCGGCUAGCCCUCUUGUUCUUCACUUAGUGCCGAUUUUGGUAGCCCAUGGGGUCCUUUUAUAGUUGUGUCACAAGUUGGGUUACACCAUGUAAACCCUAAUUGACAUGGAUUUUCAUUUCCUCCAUGAUCCAUGUGUUUUAACCUCCAUGGACCACCCAUGGAGCACCCUAUGGGUUUUAGCUCAAUUCAAUAAACCAUGGAUCAUUAGCCCACUAUAUAAGAAUGGAUGAUUUACACAAUCAACCCCAUAUAUUUAAUUAGUCUCUUUUUGAUCACCAAAUUAAUUCUUGAUCAAUACUAAUAAACUAAUAUUAUUAAUAUAUUAGAACUUAUAAUAUAUUAAUGAACCAUAAGUGUCCUUUUCUCAUUUUGUCUAUCCAAGUGUCAUGUUGCCAUGCAACCUAAAUGGACCAUGCCAUCCGGGUCAAGUAUAUACUAGAAAUAGUUAUGGACUUAGACACCUUAUCCAACAAUUACAAGUUCAUGGUGAUGUCAUUUGGGAUCACUAAUGUGCCUGUUGUGUUUAUGGUUUGAUGAAUCGUGUGUGCAGGCUGAUGAUCGACCAAUCUGUCAUUGUGUUUAUUAAUGAUAUCUUGGUGUAUACCAAGACCAGAGAGCAGCAUGAGGAGCACCUUCGAGAUCUUCUAGGGGUAUUGAGGUGAGAACGGUUGUAUGCCAAGUUCUCGAAGUGUGAGUUUUGGUUACAAGAGGUCCAAUUGCAUGGGCACCUUGUUAACCAAGAUGGGAUUUUGGUCAAUCCGGCCAAGAUCGAGGUUGUGAUGUAGUGGGAGGUUCCGAAAUAUACCUCAGAUAUCAGGAGUUUCUUAGGUUUGGCGGGAUACUAUCAGAGAUUUAUUUAGGAUUUCUCCAAGAUUACAGUACCCCUCACUCGUCUGACAAGGAAGAUAGUGGAUUUCCAGUGGGGCCCUGAGUAGCAGUCGGCAUUCGAGACUCUUUAGUGGAGGUUAUGUGAGGCCUCAAUAUUGACCCUUCUGGGGUGAGUGGAGGAUUUUGUGGUAUUCUGUGAUACAUCCAUCACUGGUUUAGGGGCGGUCCUUAUGCAGAGGGGGCGAGUGAUUGCUUAUGUUUUAUGGUACAUGAAGUUGCAUGAGACACAAUAUCCUACUCAUGACCUAGAGUUAGGAGCAGUGUUUUUUCCCUCAAGAUUUUGAGGCAUUAUCUUUAUGGGGUCCAUUGUACUAUCUACACGGAUCACAAGAGUUUGAGAUAUCUUAUGGAUCAGCCGAACCUGAACAUGAGGUAGCACAGGUGGGUGGAAGUGGUCAGGGAUUAUGACUACGAGAUCCUUUACCAUCUGGGUAAAGCGAAUGUGGUAGCGGAUGCUUUGAGCCACAAGUUGGUUGGGUCUUCGAUUAGGGAGGUAUGUAUGAGGAUAUUUGUUGAUUCUCUGAUUUUGGGAUUGAUCAGAGAAGCACAGACAGAGGGAGUUCGGAAGGAGAAUUGGAAACAUGAGAGGAUCAGGGGAAAGAUCGACAUAUUUAUCACCGAUAGUCGAGGGUUGUUGACUCGAUGUGGUCGAGUUUGGGUCCCAGUUUCGGGAGGGAUCAAGCAGAUUGUGCUGGAGGAAACUCAUAAGUCUCAUUUUUCUAUACACCCAGAGCCACCAAGAUGUAUCAGGAUUUGAUAUUGAGCUACUAGUGGUCGCGUAUGAAGAGGGAGAUAGCCUGGUAUGUCGAGAGGUGCUUGACUUAUAGGAUGGUCAAGGCCGAGCAUUAGAGGUCGUAUGGCAAGCUGCAACCUUUGGAGGUUCCCAUGUGGAAGUGGGAACAAAUCACCAUGAAUUUUAUCACCAAGUUGCCAAAUACGGCCAAGGUUUUGAUGCUAUUUGGGUUAUUGUGGAUCGAUUGACCAAGAGUGCCCACUUUUUAGCUAUCCGGGAGAGCUCUUCGGCCGAAAAGUUGGCCGAUGUGUAUGUCCGGGAGAUUGUUGCUUGUCAUGAGGUUCUGGACUCCAUUGUUUCUGACCGAGAUGUUCGAUUCACUUCAUGAUUUUAGCAGAGGUUCCACGAGGAACUAGGCACGAGAUUACAUUUCUGCACCGCGUAUCAUCCAUACACCAACAGUCAGAGUGAGCGGACCAUCCAAACCCUUGAGGUAUAUUGCGGGCAUGUGUCAUUGAUUUCAGUGGGAUUUGGGAUUCCUACCCACCUCCUAUGGAGUUCUCCUAUAACAACAUUUAUCACUCCAGCAUUGGUGCCCCGCCUUUUGAGCUCUUGUAUGGUCGGAGAUGUCGCACCCCGGUAUGUUGAGGAGAGGUUGGUCAUCGGGUAAUGUGAAGGACCAACGUAGUCCUUUGGACCAUAAAGCUUAUUCAGCAGAUCAGCCAGAGACUAUGGACAACACAGAGUUGACAUAAGAUUUAUGCCGACCGACACCGAUCUGAGUUGGAGUUUUCAGGUCGAUGAUAUGGUAUUACUGAAGGUCUCACCUUAGAAGGGUGUGAUACGCUUCAGGAAGAGAGGGAAGUUGGGUCCCUGAUAUAUUGGACCUUUCUGUGUGAUCGCUAGGGUAGGCAAGGUGGCUUAUCGGUUAGAUUUACCGAGCGAGCCCGGUCAGAUCUACAACACUUUCCAUGUCUCUCAGUUACGGAAGUGUGUGUUGGACAGUGAGGCAGUGGUUCCAGUAGAUGAUAUUCAAGUCGAUGAGCGCCUGAACUAUAUUGAGAGGCCAGUGGCUAUUCUGAAAAGAAAGAUUAAGGUCAUGCGCAACAAGGAGAUAUCUUUGGUAAAGGUUCAAUGGCAUCAUUGGAGAGGCUUCGAGUGGUUUUGGAAGCCAGAGGCUGAGAUGCGGGAGCAUUAUCCUGAUUAUUCGUGAUGGUUUAUAAGCAAAACAUCAUUCCUAUGGUGUACAUGAAAACCCUAAUAGCUUUUGGAUCUAGUUUGUCUAAUGAACAUGCAAUUGAAUAUCCAAAGCUAUAAACCUUAGAUCUAGCAUACAAUUAAUCAUAUUAACAUAUGAUUGGGGUUUAGCUCUUACCUUGAUUGUUAUGUAGCAAUAAAAAUCUCAAAUCCUCCUUGUAAUGAAAGCUUAGAGUCAUAAGUGUCACUCCUCUAACGGCUCAUAAACACCAAGAGCAAGAGGAUGAAGAAUGAUAAGAGAUGAGGCACCCAAAAACGUGUAAAAACCCUAAGGAAUACCUUCACCACGUUUUUGGUGCUCUAGGGAUCCUUAAAUAGUGAGGCUAUUAGGGUUAUCUAACAAGGAAACCCUAAUUUGACUGCUUAGGCCCUAAGCAACCCAUGGACUCCCUCCUUAGAGGCCUUGGACGAUUUCUAAUGGGUUUCCCCAUAGAAUUCGUCCACUCCAUCCUUUAUGGAGUCCAUUAGCCCAAUAUUCAACUAUCACACAAUUGACAGUUCUAGUCCCCUUUAUUUAAUUAAUAUCUUUUAGCCACAAAAUUAAUUCUUAUUAAUUCUUGACUAAUAUUAAUUAAACAAUAUGAUUUCUCCUUUAAUAUAUGUGACAUCCCCAAAAUCCCGGCCAGAAAAGACCGAUUUUCAUUUAUGCUUUUAAAUAUUUUCAGAGUAAAUCCUUUUGAUUUGAAAGAGUUGCGGAAUUUGUUCCCAAAAACAAAACAUGAUAAAACAAUGUUUACCGAAGCAUUUCAUAAAAGAAAUGUAUUUUCAUUAUAAUCAAAACUCGGGGUGUCAUGUUCCGAUACAGACCAAUAAGCAUAAACGAAUACAUUACAAGUCAUAUAACAAAUAUAAACAUAUGCAGACUUGUAAACAAAACAACUUGAUGGUUCAUCCAUCUCAUGCCCUUCCGCCACUACCUGUAAUACAAUUUAAAACUGAGUGGGUCAGGCUUGGGAGCCUGGUGAGCAUAUAGGGUUUUCAACCCACAAUAAAUAUCAUAUUUAAUUUUCACCAACCAACAAUAACCCAAUUACCCAUUCCCGUUAUUCUCACUUUAAUGUCCCUAAAACAACUAACAUAAGGGACCUAGUCUAAGAAUAUUUCAUCGGGGCGACAACACAUGCUUCGGGGGUACCUCAGCAAUAUAAGUCAAAUAAGGCAACCAUGAGGGGGAUGGAGUACAGCGAAUGAACACCCAAGUUCAUUAACACCUACAGGUGGCGAACCUGCUAAUGUUUCCACAAGACUGUCUAGAAUAGCCAGUGGUCGUCAUCUAAACUCCGCUAGAUGACUCAAUCAAACAACAACGAGGCCUCUCAUCUGUUUAUUACACACCAACUGUCUACCCAUGUUCUACCCAACAUAUUAGUAGAUAAAAAUAUACAUUUGUAUACAUAGUUUAAAGAAAACCUGUAUAGCAUGCUUUAAUCAACACAUAUAUCACAUAACAGAUGAGGCACACACACACAUAACACAUAUCUCAUAAAGAAAUAAGCAGAUCUAUAAGAUAGAAGAGAGUGAAUACUCAUUCACACAUAACACAACCAAAUAUAUACACAUAGCACGUAUUUUUAUAUAAAAUACUUCGUAUUAUUGUAUUAGAAGAAAUAACUACACACUCACUUGAUCAGAAGAUGAUCGGACAGCACUACGGCUUAUAGAAGUAGUAAUCCACAGCAGAUCUGGAAGAUCUUCUCGAAAAUCGAACUUCUCGCGGGCAGAGCUUCGACUCGGGAACCGCACUUNCACUUGAUCAGAAGAUGAUCGGACAGCACUACGACUUGCAGAAGUAGUAAUCCACAGCAGAUCUGGAAGAUCUUCACAAAAAUCGAACUUCUCGCGGGUAGAGCUUCGGCUCGGGAACCGCACUUCUCGGGAUCUUCGGGAUCUCGGGACUUGCCUCGGGGCUCAGGAAUAUUACCGGGGCGUCGGGGUACUUCUGGCACGCAAAACGAUGCAAAACGGGAGAGAGAAGAGAGAAAAUAGCAACCCUAAACGGCUGGCCCUUCAAAUCUAUUUAUAGGGCAAAUUUGGCCCUUGAAAUGUCGUGGCAAUCUUGUUCCACGUCGUGGGCUUGGUCGUCACUGCANNNNNNNNNNNNNNNNNNNNNNNNNNNNNNNNNNNNNNNNNNNNNNNNNNNNNNNNNNNNNNNNNNNNNNNNNNNNNNNNNNNNNNNNNNNNNNNNNNNNNNNNNNNNNNNNNNNNNNNNNNNNNNNNNNNNNNNNNNNNNNNNNNNNNNNNNNNNNNNNNNNNNNNNNNNNNNNNNNNNNNNNNNNNNNNNNNNNNNNNNNNNNNNNNNNNNNNNNNNNNNNNNNNNNNNNNNNNNNNNNNNNNNNNNNNNNNNNNNNNNNNNNNNNNNNNNNNNNNNNNNNNNNNNNNNNNNNNNNNNNNNNNNNNNNNNNNNNNNNNNNNNNNNNNNNNNNNNNNNNNNNNNNNNNNNNNNNNNNNNNNNNNNNNNNNNNNNNNNNNNNNNNNNNNNNNNNNNNNNNNNNNNNNNNNNNNNNNNNNNNNNNNNNNNNNNNNNNNNNNNNNNNNNNNNNNNNNNNNNNNNNNNNNNNNNNNNNNNNNNNNNNNNNNNNNNNNNNNNNNNNNNNNNNNNNNNNNNNNNNNNNNNNNNNNNNNNNNNNNNNNNNNNNNNNNNNNNNNNNNNNNNNNNNNNNNNNNNNNNNNNNNNNNNNNNNNNNNNNNNNNNNNNNNNNNNNNNNNNNNNNNNNNNNNNNNNNNNNNNNNNNNNNNNNNNNNNNNNNNNNNNNNNNNNNNNNNNNNNNNNNNNNNNNNNNNNNNNNNNNNNNNNNNNNNNNNNNNNNNNNNNNNNNNNNNNNNNNNNNNNNNNNNNNNNNNNNNNNNNNNNNNNNNNNNNNNNNNNNNNNNNNNNNNNNNNNNNNNNNNNNNNNNNNNNNNNNNNNNNNNNNNNNNNNNNNNNNNNNNNNNNNNNNNNNNNNNNNNNNNNNNNNNNNNNNNNNNNNNNNNNNNNNNNNNNNNNNNNNNNNNNNNNNNNNNNNNNNNNNNNNNNNNNNNNNNNNNNNNNNNNNNNNNNNNNNNNNNNNNNNNNNNNNNNNNNNNNNNNNNNNNNNNNNNNNNNNNNNNNNUUCGGACACCAUCAUGAAUAUUCCCUAUAAUUCGAUCAACAGGAUAAUCUCGAUGUUCAAUGACUGAUGCUGAUUCCAGAGAAAUAGACACUGACACAUUAUCAGUUUCAGGAGAGUCUUCAGCUUCAAGGGUUUCAUCAGCACCUAAUGAGUUAUCUGUUGUUGUGGCUACAGUAUCUUGAUUCAAGGGACAUGGAACUGGAAUGAUCGGAUCAGAAGAAUCGGUCAUCUCUUCAGCACAAGGUGCUUCAUCGAAUGGACAAGAGAGAAGCUCUUGAAAGAUAGAAGGAGAAUGAGUGACUUUUUCAUCAGUGUAUGAUUCCUCAUCAAACUUCACAUGAAUGGAUUCUUCAACACAUUGCCUGUUCACAUGAAAAACACGAAAAGCCUUUGAAAUAGAUGAGUACCCAACAAAAAUACCUUUAUCAGCUUUAGGUUCAAACUUGGAUCUUGGGUCACGCUGAUUUAGAAUAUAACAAAUGCAUCCGAACACAUGAAAAAAGGAUACAUCUGGUUUUCGAUCUUUCAGCAUUUCAUAUGGAGUCUUCUUGUGAAUCCUGUGAAUUAGAGAUCGAUUCUGAGUAAAACAUGCUGUAUUGACAGCUUCAGCCCAAAACGACAUAGGAAGACCAGCAUGGAUCAUCAAGGUCCUUCCUGCCUCAAUCAGUGUUCUAUUUCUUCGUUCAGCAACACCAUUUUGCUGAGGAGUACGAGGAGUUGAGAAGUUUUGUCCAAUUCCUUUAUGAUCACAAAAUUCUUCAAGAGUUGAGUUUCGGAACUCAGUGCCAUGAUCACUUCUUAGUUGCUUAACUUUAAGACCUGUCAGUGUCUCAUUUUUACGAAUCAGUGAGAUAAUUUCCUGUGCAGCAUGACUUUUCUUCUUCAAGAAAACUACCCAUGUAAAUCGAGUGAACUCAUCAACGACCACUAGAGUAUACUUAUUUCCACCUAGUGAACGAACAGGAAUAGGUCCAAACAGGUCCAUGUGGAGUAGAUGAAGAGGGACUGAUAUACUGGAACAUGACUUGGGUUUGAAAGAGGACUUGGUUUGUUUUCCUUGUUCACAAGCUGAACACAUCUUGUCUUUCACAACGCUGAAUUUUGGGAGCCCUCUAACUAGGUCUUGAUUGGAUAUCUUGGAUAGAUUCUUGAAGUUCAGAUGAGAAAACCUUUUGUGCCAAAUCCAGCUAAGAUUCGUCUGAGACUUUGUAAAGAAACAUUGCAUCAGUGCCUUGUCACUUGAGAACAUGUCAAGAACAUAUAUAUCAUCUUUUCUACUUGCUGAGAGUACGAUGUUCUUGUCAGUGUUUACAACUCUUCCUUCCUUCUUUGUAAAGUGAACUUCAUAGUCAGCAUCACACAAUUGACUGAUAGAAAUAAGGUUGUGUUUGAGACCCUUAACAUAUGAAACGUUUUGAAAAACCACGUUAUUGCAUUUGAUGUUUCCAUAUCCCUUAGUGAACCCCUUUCCAUUGUCUCCAUAAGUAACUGCAGGACCAGUUUUCUUAACAUAAUCUUCCAGGAGAGACUUUGAUCCUGUCAUAUGCCUUGAGCAACCACUGUCUAAGUACCAAAGAUGCUCCUGACCCUGCAGUGCUGAGAAACUAGUUAGAACACACUGACCCAUUCGAAGAUGGGUCAUUCACAAAGUUAUUUGAUAAUAAAUUAUAACACUCCUUAGGAAGACAGUUUAAAGAGUUUGACUUAAGAGUCCAUUUUUCAUUCCUAACUUUAAUAUUUUCAGCUCUUGAGGAUGAUUUAUCAAAAGAACAUUCACUGAUCUUGUGAGAGGAAUCACCACAUCUGUAACAAACUCUAGUUCCAAAGUUCUUCUUGGUGAGCAAAUUUUUUGAUUUAACACAUUUUGAUAUGUAAGAUUCACCAAUAGAGCUUUGAGUCCUUUUGUUUAUCACUGAGUCACGACUGAGUUCAGUGUCAGAAUGAAUUUGAUCAGUGUUAGAGGAUGAAAUAUCAGUAUCUGAUUUUGACUCAUUCACAGAUGGAUUGCAAUCAGGGAAGUGCUUGAGUUGUUCAUGAACAGCAUGAAACACUCCAUUAGAGAUAGGAAAAGCAAUAAUAUUCUCAGUUAGAGGGGUUGGUCUAACAAGAUGUGCAGGAUAAGAGGUAGGAUCAAUUCCGGUAAUUUCAACAUUACACUCAGUAAUACCAUCAGAAUUAAUAGUACAAUAUUCAUCAAUUAAACUUUGAUUAAUAAAAGAGUUACUGACAAACUUAUUUUUGAAAUUGUUUUUCAUCUCAUUCAUGGAAUAGACCUCAGAUUCCUUUUCUUGUGAUUUAAAAACUUUUUCAGCUUCUGCAAAAUUACCCCCAAGAAUUUUUUCACAAGAAUGUGGAAUUUGAGCUGAAAUAAUAUAAUUGGCAUUCUUAUGAGAUUUUGCCCAAGUGUGAAGCACAGUUUGUUCUUUGAUCAAAAGAUUUUUAACAUCGUCAAUUUCAGCAGACAAGGAUGAAUUUGACAAACUAGUAAUUCUAAGAUUUUCCUGAGUGGACUCAAUAAUGCUAUUUUUCAUGGAUAUAUCAGUUUCAAGAAGAUCAAUUUGAUUUUGCAAAUUUCUUAUGGUUUGAUUCUUCUUAGAAUUAAUGACACCCAAAUACUCAAACAUUUUGAUUUUUUCAUUCAUUGAAUAGGAAACAAAGUUUUUAACCUGGUACAUUGAAGAAGAGUCAAUGUUGUGCUUCCUGGAAUUUUCAGCAUCAGACAUAUCAGUGUCAAAAGUACUUUUGUCUUUAUCAGGAAUAUCCGGGUCCUCUAUUUUGACCAUGAGACACUUGACUUCAUCAUCUGAUGACUCUUCAUCAGUUUUCCAUUUUUCUUCUUCAGCUACAAGCACUUUAUGUUCCAAGUUUUCAGCUUUCAGCUUCUCAAUCAGCUUGUUGUACUUCUGCUUCCAGUAUUCAUCUGAGCCUUGUUUCUUUUGUUUACAAUCCUUUGCAAAAUGAUCAGUGCUCCCACAGUUAAAGCACUGAGCCUUCUCUUUCUUAUCAGCACCAUGCCUUUUAUCAGCUCCUGACCCUUUUGAGAAUUUUCCACCAAUCUUCUUUUGAAACUUUGAGAAGUUUCGACCUGAUUUUUCAAAGGUCUUCACAAUCAAGGCUGCACUAGCUACAACCUUUUCAAUAUCAUCAGUGUCAGUUUUAGAUGAAUCAGUGUCUGAAUCACUUUCAGUGUCUGAGUCUGCCACAAGCUUUUUGUUGGAGAACAAAGCUACAGAAGAUUCACGCUGAGAAUCCUUCAUCAGUUCCUUUCUUUGAAGCUUGGAUUCUUCAUAGUAUCGAAGAUUUCCAUAGAGACUUUGUAAGUCCAUAGAGUUGAUCUUCUCACUGUUUUUCAGCACAUCAACAUGAUUCUCCCAACCUGCACCUAGAGAAUCCAAAAACUUUUGCACUAGAACAGUUCUAUGCUUCAACUGAUCUAGUCUCCGAAGAUCGUUAACAAGAGUAUUGAAUCUGUUAAAAGUUUGAGUCAAGGUUUCACCUUUCUUAGCAAAAAAAUGUUCAUACCUUCGGUUAAGAUCAUUUAUUUGAGUAGCCUUGACUUCUUCAGUUCCUUCAAAAGAUACAGUCAGCGUAUCCAUCAUCUCUUUUGCUGAGAUGCAAUUUUGAACCAGCCCAAAGAUGUUGUAUGGCAAUGAGUAGCUAAUAGCGGCACGAGCACGAACAUCCAAACCAUGUUUUCUCUUGUCGUCUGCCGUCCAGUUUUCUUUUGGAGUUUUCUUCAUAGUGCCAUCAGGAACAUUGUUUUUAAGAGGCUGAUACAUCGGAACAUAAGGACCUUUUUCAACGAUGUCCAGCAUGUCUUCAUCAACAGAUUCCAAGGCAUAUAGAGCCUUUAUUUUCCACAUAGCAAAGUUAGUUUCAUCGAAAGGAGGGAUUUUAGCAGAAGGAUGAUUUGACGAGUUUGAUGAAGAAGAAGAUGAAGUCAUUUGUUUGAUAAAAGAAACCUGCUCUGAUACCAAUUAAAGAGGCCUUUAGAUCAAUCGAAAUAUCAAACAAUGACUACAAAUAAGAACAAGAGAAAUUCACGAAGAAAAACUUUCACUAAGAAAGAUAAUCUCACAAAGAGAUUAUCGUGUGCACAAAGCGACGAUUAGGGUUUGUGAAAGGCGUAACCAUUCACAAACCUGUACAAGAUAAUAUAUACUGCUAUUCUAGACAAUCCCUACAAUUCAGGGAUACGCUAGCUAUUAAAUCAAGAUAACUAAGGAAACAGGAUAAAUACAAGAUUUGUUACAACGCACUGAAUAAACUAAACUAUUACAAACUGAGCUGCUGAUAUGCUAGCGCUGAUGCUGAGAUACGUGCUGACAUUGAGUCUGUUUUAAACAUUAUCAUAUUUCAAGGCUUGACCUUUCAACACAAUUGACAGUUCUAGUCCCCUUUAUUUAAUUAAUAUCUUUUAGCCACAAAAUUAAUUCUUAUUAAUUCUUGACUAAUAUUAAUUAAACAAUAUGAUUUCUCCUUUAAUAUAUUAUUCUCAUAAUAUAUUAAUAAAUCAUAAUUAAUCAUCUCUCUCCAUAAUUCAUCCUAUCAAGUUGCUUUGGUGAAGGCAACCCAAAAGGACCAUGCACCAUCGGGUCAAGUACAUACCAAAAACAGUUAUGGACUUAGACACUAAUCCAAUAAUUCAUCACAGUCGACUUCGAGGACAAAGUCUAGUUCAAGUGGGGGAUAAUUUUAACAUCCUAAUGAUGAGGUACUUCUAAUUUUGACCCUAUAAUUGAAUUAUAUUGCAUUUUGGUCACUAAGUUCAAGAAAGAAUGAAAAAAUGGCCCAUAAUGGCAUUUUGGUAAAUUGGGACUUUGAGGAGUACAUUAUGCGUAUGUGUGUACGCUAAGCGUACUAUGGCGCGCCUUAGUACGCUUGGCAUACACCUCGUACAUAGGGCAUACGUGGAAAGCAUGAAAACCCUAAUGUUUAGGGUUUUGGCUCAUAUUUAAGCCUCCUUAAGGCCUCACAUUUCAGUCUUACCUAGCCUCCUUCUUUGACAUCGACCCUCAUGCAACCUUAAGAGCAAAAGAGAAAUUUUGGAGCCUUUAAGAGAGUUUAGAAGUGGUUUUGAAGAAAGAAGAAGGUGGUAAGAAGAUCUUGGAGUUAAGAGCACCUUGGAUCUGUGAUUUCUACCUUGUUUGCAACCUCUAGAAGGUAUAAAGCUUGAAACUUUACUACCCCAUCUUGUAUAUCUAGGUUUUUGCUCUUUUAAGUCACUUUUUGGUCCCAGCAUGGUGAUUCUUGAGCAUGGACUAUUCUUGACCCAUUAAGUCGUCCUUUCAGACCUUAGAAAUGGUCUUGAAUCAUAAAAACGGGGUCUUAAUGGUUGGUUUUGCUCCAUGCACUCUCUAGAAGGUCUUUAUGUAUUGAGACCUUGAAUUAGGCACUUAAUAGACAUGCAAGGUCAUACAGUUGGAAACUUUAUGACUCUUAAGGAUGAUUUAGCCUCAGAUCUGAAAAUGGGAUGUAAGAGCUUAUGAAAUUAAGCUCUUAAUGAGAGAUUGGGAAGAAUGGGUUCACGCCCUACGUAAUCUGAGUACGUAGUGUGUACAUGGUCAACCUCCCCGAUGGUGGUCAAAGCGUGAGUAGUUUGGCUAUGACUUUAACUAAGCUGGGUUGAGUCAGUUAACUUAUGGAUUUUGACUAGUUUGACUAUGACUUUAACUAAGUUUAACCAAGGGGUAUUUUGGGUAAUUUGAAUGGUAUUUGAGAAAUUGGUCUUUUGAAUGAAUAGGUGUCGGUUAGAGCUGAGAUUUGAGUCGGGACCUCAUUAGCUAUUGUUCAGACUAUGAGGUGAGUUUACUCAUUGUACUUACAGGUCGAAGGCACCAAGGCUGGCCCAUUGGAUUGAUAUCCCGCUAUAAAUUGAUAUGUUGAGUAUGGAAUAGAUCUGCAUGGCUAUAUGCUAGCUGCUAAUAUGCUACUUGUGAUUUUGUCUGCAUGAUUAUAUGUAUGUUGCUUAUGUUUAUUAUUUGUUAUAUGUCGAUAUAAUGUGGUGGGUUAAGAUUGUACUACUUUGUGUUGUAGCCAACAAACCUGGGAGCAAUCCAGAUAUGAAUUGAGGGUCGGUUGGCAUGCCAGACUCAUAUUGAGGACUCGGGAGCAUUCUAGAUACAAGUUGAGGGCCGGUUGGCAUGUCAGACUUGUACCGAGGUCUUAAGGGUAUUCCAUUCUGAUGACUGAGUGUACACACUAUAUAUUGGCAUUCCAACCUAGGGUAUUCCAUCCUGAGGAUGAUUGUCCCAGAGGUUGAUUGGGUCUAGGGUAUUCCAACCCGAGGGUUGAUUGGACCAGACAUGUUGUUGUAUAUGUUAUCUAUCUAUGUGUUAGUACUUUGGGGGAACUCACUAAGCUUUCGCUUACGGUUUUUAGUUAUUGUUUCAGGUACUUCUGAUGAACGCGGGAAGCCGAAUGCGUGACCGUACACAUCCUCUAUUUUGUGUACUUUUGAUCUAUGGGAUACUCUGAUAUGGA